CUUUUGUCCAUUUGCAAAUGUAUUCAGAACUUCCAGUGCAGUAAAGGAGAGGAACCUUCCUUCCAGGUAAGGCUACCUAAUUCAGCUUCUAUUGACUUUUUCCAUAGUACACCAUUUAAGUUGACACGUAGCUUUGCUAAUAUAAAAACCCCCAUCACAUUUCUUUCCACUGUUUUCUCUAUUAUUAUAUCUAAUAUAGUAAAUUAUUUUGGAGCUCUUCAUAAUUCCUUUUAGUUUUUGUCACCCUGAACAACUUGGUGUCAUCAGCAAACUUGGCUCCCUCACUACUUAGCCUAAAUCCUAGCAUAAUCAUUCCUCAGCUUUUGCCAUAUGCUGAAGACACACCUUUUUAUCUUGUCCUUUGUCAGCUGAGGUAGUUUGUUUUAUGGGGCCCAUCUCUUUUAUUGAACUUGGACUGUUCUGUUCCAUCUGGAAUGGUUUUACUUGUUUCAUAAUUGUAAUAGUUUUAUCUUGCUUGUUUUUUAAAAAAGGAUUCCAUAUUAUAGUGUUGUAAACCACCCUGGAUUGUUUCAGUGAAGGGUGGGUGAGAAAUCUUAUAAAUAAAAAUAAAUAAGAUUAGAAUAGCACAUUCCAAAGCUGAGGUGCUAUAAAGGUUGAGUUUGUCCUGCUGGUGAUAUUUAUAUAACAUAUUUUAUUCAUACAUAUACAAACACACAUCACAAAGAAUUGCAGCUGCAGGACUUUUAUUAAACAGCAGCAAAACCAGAGUUAACAGAGAUUGAUGACCUUUCUGAAAACAAAGCAAACACAAAAUGCAAUGAAUAUUCUUUGGAAAAUGUUGCAAUCUCUCACAUGAAGUAGCAUGAAUUGAGCAGGUCCAGAACUGUUUCCGAAUAGAAUAAUUUACUAUAGAAAUAUGUUAAACAGGAUCAGUCCUAAAGUAAGAGAUCCACAAUUCUGUUUGGGCCUCUUCAUUCACUAUACAGAUAGAAACAAAAAAUGUAUUAUUUAUUUAAUUAAAGCAUUAUCACCCUCCAUCUUGUUGAAAAGAUGCCCAGAAUAGUAGGACCGAUGGACCUGUCCAUUCCAUUUGCCCAGUGUUCCUUCCUGCACCUAAUAUUGAUCAAUUCCCUCCCGCUCCUGGGACUGUAGGCUUAUAUGAUACAGUUUACAUUGUUCGGUAGAUUCCCAUGUUACCCUCGGGAGAGACUUUUUGGAGGAUAGAGGGGCUGCAGGGCAGGAUGGGUUGCCUGAGUUGUUUUCCACUUGCAUAACCAUUGGAUACAAGCUAGGUGACUUUCAAGAUGGCUGCAGAGAACUUCUAACAGACUUACCACCUUAUGCUGUAAUUGUAUACUAUUUAUUGUACAUCUGCUGUGGGGAACAAUUUUUGGCUCACUGGGCCAGAUCUGACCAAGCCUGUGUAGACAUCACUGAGACAGACAUGCAAAUAUGCUGGGAAUGGGGGCUUGGGAGAGCACAUCUUUGUUUGAGACUCUGUCCUGCCAUUCCCAAAAUCUCCCUGAUAUAGUGCAUAUGGAAGGUAUUGAGGUGUCUCUGCUGGUGGGUGUAAAUUGCCCACAAGUCACUUCCAUAAAGCAAUGUGCUCAACACACAAGCCUGGCAGACCUUCAUCUUGGUAUUGGUCACUAGCAUCACAUUUCUUCCAUAGCAUUUUGGAGAGGCAAGCCAUUGCCAUAGCUGCCUUGCCCAUACUCAUGUGAAGCUCAGUGUCGAUGGAGAGAUUGCUGGUUAUUGUGGAGUCCAGGUAGACAGCAUCAUUUACCACCUCAAUGCUGAUGCGUGGGGUGCUGGCAACAUCCUGACUCAGGAUGUUGAUCUUCAUCAGGAUGGUGGUAAGGCCAAACUCCCUGCAGGUUUGGGCAAAAUGGUUGAUGAGUCUGUGUAGAGCUUCCUUGGAAUGCACUAUCAGGGCAGCAUCAUUUUCAAAUAACAUCUCUUGGAUAAGAACCCAUUGCACUUUGUUCUUGGUAUGGAGAUGUGCCAGGUUGAUCAGACCCCCGUUUCUCCUUGAAUGGAGGUAUAUUCCAUCUUCGGUCAAACUGAAAGCAUAGGAGAGCAACAGAGAGAAGAAUAUGCUGCAAGAGAGUUGCUGCAAGAAUGCAGCUUUGCUUCACACUGCUGUUUAUAGGGAAGAUGUCUGAGGAUGAACCAUCGUACUGGAUGGUGCCGUGCCUGUUCUCAUGAAAAAUUUACAUAUUUGGCUCAUUCAAGACCAGAUGUCAUUAGGGGUUUUGUGCAUCAAUCUCCAUUCCACUUUCAUUUAUGACAUUGGUUUUUGUGCUUGUAACAUCAACAGAACGGCUUUGUUUUCUGCAGUGUCAUUGCAUUUCCAAAGGGACAGAACCAAUUCUCUGAGGGAUUCUUAUGUAGAAAGAAGACAUAUACAUUCAUUUUUCUUCAUGAAGUACUGAUUUGCAGAGCGGGAGAUAGAGAGAUGGCAUACCAUAUGCAGCUGUGUCUGAAAUGAACAUAGCUUUCUUGGCUUGUGAUUGAUAAUGGAGUAAGACUGUAAUCUAAUUGGAGCAGAGAAUGACUUUGGUGAAAGAGCACUAUUGGUUCUGUAAGAUCUAAAACCUGGCAGCUGAAAUUGUUGGAGGUGCUAUAUGUUACUCAGCUGGAUUCAUUGGAAGAAAGUUGAACAACAUCACUACAGAGUUCCUUGCAGUUUUACAAAUACCCCCAACAAAUACUAGGCUAAAAGAUAUUCAUGAGAUACCAAUUCAGAAACUUGUCAGUCCAUAAGAUCUCAACCUAAGAAAUUCUCCUGUUGCGCAACCUACCACCUCUCUCUGAUGAUUAGCUCUGGAAACAGAGAUUGCUCCUCACACCUCUGCUCCAGUAUGCCUCAAAAGGAUGGGUAAAUUGAAACUUACUUUCAAGUGAAAGCAAAGGAAUUAGAUGCAGUAGAUAUAUCAAGCACUCUGCAAGGCAAACUAAAAACUGUAUACAGUAUGUUGUAUACUAUUCUGAAGAGAGCUGAACACAGAAUGAUAAAAGGCACAGGCAAGGAUUGGUAGAUGGGCUGUUGAAAGUUUUGGGAUAUGUAGCAAUGAGGGCUUAAAACGGGUGAGAAAACUUUUCCUGCCUGUGGAUCACAUUCCCUCCUGGGCAGCCUUCAAAGACUCACAUGCAAUUGACGGACAGAGCCAGAGGAAAAAGUGGGUGGAGCAAUGAAUUCAAUUUUUGCACCGUGGGCUACUUUCUACACACAUACUCGUAGAAAGUCCUCAAUCCUGUUUUAUUUUUAUUUUUUAAAAGUUUGCAUUCCUUGUUGGGAGCACACUCAGAAUCCCUCCAAAGUAUGGCAAAGUUUGGAGUCAAUCAAAGUUUGAUCAUUGGUGAUAAAUUUGCCUAACAAACGUCCUGUUCCUCCUGUCUCCCUGUACCUGCAACUAUAGGGGAUGCAAUCAAAUUAUUUGCAGGUGCCAAAGUAUGGCUUAGUUCAGUUUGGUGGGCUACAAAUUGUGCAGCCUUCGUUUAAGAUAAGGCCAAAAGUAUACUGGGUGGCAUUUAACUAAUGUUUACUCAGAGGAGAUCCAUUGAAAUCAAUGGACCUAACGUAUUCAUGUUAAUUAAUUUCAGUGGGUUUACUAUGAGUAAACAUUAGUUAAAUGCCACCCAGUAUACUUUUGGCCAUUCCAUUCACUCUUUACAAACUCUGACAAUAUAAGUAUAUAUUGUGGCUGAUGGAAAGCAUUUGAUGCCUAAAAGUAAAGUUUAAUUCUCCCUAUUUUGUGAAGAAGAAUGAGUAUGUUACAGUAGGGUCAUGAUAUAGGAAGUAUAUAUGGGAAAGUGUGCAUAACUUUUUCAUUCUAUGGAAAUGUAUGUGAAAGUUGUCAUAAGGUUACAUCCAGCUGGUACAUGAUUCCAGAAAGACUACAUCAGAUAAGCAGAAAUUAUAAAUGCUGGAAAUGUGAGCCAAGUCUUGGAAGCGACUUCAAUAGCUGGCGGUUGUGCACAAGGCAAAACAGUAUUGAUUUCCGAUUGAGAAUAUAAGAGAGAAACAAAAGCACCACUAGAUUUAGAAGAUGCUUUAUUUUUACUGACAAAUAUAUAAACAUACAGCAACGAGAAUAAAUAUAUAGCCAUAAGAACAGGUUAACAAAAUUCAAGGCCAACAAUAAUCUGUAAUAGUCUGUAAUCUGGAAUAUACGCAAAACCAAAUUUGAAAUCCAAAUUUAAAAAGAUUUAGAUUCAGAAUUUCCUCCAAGAAUACCUGGAGCUAGGGUGCCAACAAGUUAUCUUGGCUUUCUAAACCAAGUUGGUCUUAAAAAUGGAAAGCAUAUAUGUAUUCUCCCUUUGUCUUCAUUUAAUGAUAGAAUAACUUGCCAACUUUCCUAGGAACAGAAGAUUUUAUCAUUUUAUUACAAAACCAAUAAAAUGUUAUAAAAAAGGAAGGUGUUAUCAAAGGCAAACUUUAAACAAUAGAUUUUAGUCUUCCAUGCUUCAACAGAAAACAUUUGUAUGCAUGUAUGUGUACAAUUAUUUAUAUAUUGUUUAUAUUUAGGAAGGUUGAAAUAAUAACAUAAGCAGCUUAAUUCCAAAAUCUAAGUUUGGGUAACUGUUGCAUUUUUAAAAUGUAGAGAUCAGCCAAUGCUUAUUUUCCCUAUACUUCUAGAGGGUAACCUGACACCUGCUUAAAACCAGCAGAGACUAAUCCAAUUAAGUGUGCAAUCUGCUCCUCAUUCUGUCUUGAGACUACCUGCUCAAGUGAUUUUUUAAUAUCCCGCCCCCCUUUUAGCCAUACCCUCUUACUCCUAACCCUUAGCAUUCAACCUGAUUAAAAGGUGUGGUGAACAUAAAAUCUUGCUCUGUAUUUUGUGACAUUUUGGCUUACCCUAACUAAAGUAUUGCCCAAGUGUAAAUUGCUCAAGGUGAUUUUCUCUGUUGACAAUAAACAGUGUCUUUUUUCUUUUAAAAAUUAUUAUUAGAGAAAGAUCGCCUUCCACUUAGGGCAGCUUAGAGCAUAUAAAAUCAUAUUUUCAUUAAACUGUAAGAAACAAUUACAAAAGAGUCAGGGUUGGCAGUUUUAGCUUAAAGCAGGUUAAACACAUGUAAAAUAAAAUACCACAACAGUACUUUUGUUAAAAAAUCUUAUUGUGCGGCAAGCAUGAAUCUGAGUUUGUGCAGUCAGCAUACAUGUCUAUUGCACAACUAAUCCAUCUUAAAAAUUUGUGAUGAGUGCACAAAUUUUAUUAUUCUCCUUUUAAUGCCCUAGUUCAGCUCAUUAAUUUUAUAUCUUUGAUGACUGGCUAAUGCUUACAUUUGUCCUUCUAAAUAUGUAAAUAUAUGACAUUAAGUAUGGAAAGUGGUGGGCAUUUACAUUUAAGGUAUGAAUAAUGGUAGCAUGUAAUUUUUUUUGAUGACCAAUGGUUUCUAACAAAUAAAUUUGACUGACUGACUGGUUGACAUAACUGAUUAGUCAUUUAUUAAUUCAUUCAAAGUCAAGAAAGCAGUCCUAGUGACCUUAGGAAAAAAGUUCUUUCAUUUUUUUCUGGUGAGUCCUCUACUUGCAAUGUAAAUAUUUAUAGGUAUCUCUAAGAGGUUGGCUAGGUUGAGAGAUGGUGGCUGGUCUCAACUUAGUGACCUGACUGUAUAUUCAGACUCUGAUAUCCCAGAUCCUACUCCAGCACUCUGACCACUGCAUCACACAACCUCUCCUGUGUGCUUGUUCUUCCAGUUAAAGGCUCAUUUUGUCCUUUGAUAUGUCACCAUUCUCAUUCAUUCAAAAUGAGCCUAAAUUGAUUCAUGUGAAAUGUGAGGCUAUGUAUGAUGUGUGGUGUCUUAAUUUUAAUACAUAUGCACUGGGCUCAUGGUGGUUAAGUAUAGUAUCCUGAGAGCAAGGAGAAGUCUUCUAGUAAUGGUGUGUGUGUUUUAAAGCAUGACAUCCAAUGGUGUUUAUCUAUCAGUGAAAUAGACAUAGUUGAUGGAACAGAUUACCCCUUUUUCCUACAGCCUCUGUGCACCUCCCAAACCUGCUCCAAAAUUGGGGUGGGGGGAGGGCAGCACAGUAGGCUGUAUAUUUCAUGUGGCUGAAACCAUAAGCAUGGUAACUCCAGUGCCCAACUGAGCAUAUUGACAAUUUUUAAAGCCUAAAGCCUCUCUAAAAGUCAAAAUAGGAGGAACAUUAGGAGAGUGCUUUACUAGGGGAUAAAUCACAGGAAUGAAUGAUUUUCUUCUCUCUUGCUAAAAUGUAAGAAAUUAAUCUGGGAAAGCUGAAUUGGGAAAAGGUUCUGGGAGCUCUUUCAGCUGCAUCAAAGGAAAGUAGUAUCUUGCUAUGACAGGAGGGGAUGAUUUUCCUUUUUUAAAAAAAUAAUAAUAAUAGCGGUGGGGAAUGCUUACUUUUUGAACAUGCCAAGUAAGCAUUAAUUGGUCUGUGAAUAAUCGGCUUUUUAAGGGGUAGACUCCUCAGCACAUCGUGGGUCAUUCAAGCGUUCAAAAGAUGUGAGGCAGUUUAAUAUUAUUAAUUGCUAGCUAGCUGAUUAGAUUUACACAGAAUUGUCAGUCCUUACAGGCCCAAAUAAUCAUUCCUCGCAAAAUAAAAUUUACAAUGCCAUUAAAUUUAUCCCUAGCAGGUUUUCCAAAGUGAAAUCUCCCAACAGCAAUAAACUUUUAUUGCAUGUUUAAUUUAUUUCUCCCUGAAGUCGGGAAAUGUCUCAAAGACGUAUGUUGGUGCUCAUUGGUAUUAUUCCUUAAAUAUACAUAAACAUAUUUAAUCUAUUUCUUUCAUUUUGCUGCAUCUCUUGAGAUUAAGGCAGCUUCCAGAUGUUGCUCCUAGGAGUGAUGUUAAGUGGGGAAAUUGCUCUGGUAUUAAAAAAUGCCUAAUGAUCUGCUUCUUCUUGAAGAACUUUGGAGCUACCUUGGCUGCUUGUAUGUGAUGAUAUGUCCUUUUACUCCAACCUCUUUGUGUGAAUGUGUAAUUGCAAACUGUGAUGAGAGUGCUCAUCAUGUAAAAAUUGCAGACUGGGAGUGCCUCUAAAUUACUUAUUAAUAGAGGGAGAUAUCAAGUAUUGGUCAUACUCAGAACAUGCCCAUUUAAAUCAAUAGGUUUUAAGUUGCUUAAGUCCAUUAAAUUCAGUGGGUCUAACUAUGUCUUAUCAUCCAUAGUAAGUGUUGGACUCUACUUGGGUUUUAAAUAAUAAUAAUAAUAAUAAUAAUAAUAAUAAUAAUAAUAAAUUGAAUUUAUAUACCGCCCUAUACCUGGGGGUCUUAGGGCAGUUCACAGAAUAAAAUUGUGCCACCCAAGUUAGCAAGAACUAGAAUGCAGAACAAAUAUUGCUGAUCUGAAUUCUCAUCCAGCUACAGUGAUAUACACCAUGCUUUAAAUAAAUGUCCUGCAUGUUUACUCAAGACCAAGAAGUCUUUGUUUUGGGCAAAUUUGUAUCAACAACAAUUAAGAAUUCUUGCAAAAUCUGAUUUCUCACAAUGUUUUCACUGCUCUGCUACAAAUUGCCUCCUGUAAUUUCGCCAGAUUCCAUAAUAUUAGGUGCAGCAUAGAGCAAAAUAAGCAUUCAUGUGAUAAAUACAUUCAUGAGAUUGCACCUGGGAGUAGAACUGCAUGCACAAAUACAUCUGGUGCUUUAGAUUUAAGUGAACAGUGAUAACUUGUAUGUCCGUGAGUUCUAGUGUUGUGAGAGAUGGAGAAAAGCAAUGAAGCUGAAUUUUGAAAGAUUCAGGACAGAGAAAAUAAAGCAUUUAUUAAUGCAGCACAUAGUUAAACUAUGGAACUCAGUCCCACGGGAGGCAGUGAUGGCCACCAACUUGGGUGGCUUUAAAAGAGGAGUAGACAGAUUCAUGGAGAAGGCUGCUGAUAGCUGUGCUCUGCCUCCACAGCUGGAGGCAGUCAUGCAGUUGAAAACCACAGGAGGAGAAAGCCACUUCCGAGCUGGAAAGGAGGUGGGGUUGCGGGCCCACGCCCUCCCCACGCACACGGGGGCUGACUCACAGCCCCCGCGAGAAUGAGGGAAUCCUCGGGCACGUCAUUGCCCUGUCCAGCCAAUGGGCUUGCCAGGGAGGCGUGGCCUGAGCUAUUUAUGGCCGGCGCGCCUGAGGACCGCCCUCUCUUCGCUGUUCCAGCUGACCUGGUAAAGUAGUCCGGUAGUCUGGUAAAGGAUUCCGGGGGGCAUUGCCCUGUCCAAAGCCUAUGGAGGUGUGGGCCUAAGGCAUGCCCCCGAGCGGUGACCCCGGGGGAGCUCCUAGUUGAUGUACAUCAGCAGGACUCCCCCCCCACUGGUGGUUAACCCUUACCGGCCUUCAUGCAAUCGGGCUGAAGCCGGUUAGUUGUUAGGACGAAUGCCUAAGCCAAUACCGCUCAAUUCCUGCAAUCAAUAAAGUUGUGGCCUUUUCCGCUUGUUAACCUUAAAUACUGUGUCCUGUGUCUUUAUUUCCCAAGGGGGGAGGGGGACUUGCCACGCAAAGUGCUCGGAUCCUGCUUGUGAGUUUCCCAUAGGCUUCUCAUUGGACUAGAUGGGACACGGGCCUGAUCCAGCAGGAGUCUUCUUAUGUUCAUCUCACUUAGCUGCCUUAUACUGAGUCAAACCAUUCUAGCUCAGUAUAGCCUGCACUGACUGGCUAGAUAAUAAUAAGCUAGAUAUCUACCAAGAUGUGAUUUGGGAGGCAUUCCCACUUCGCCUUGAAGAGUGUCAUCUUUUAAAAUGGACUCUAUUACUAAUCUAAUCGCUAAACUGAAUGCUAAAUUGAAACAUAAAAAUCAGCGAAGGUUUUUUCUCCCCUUUGAGUGAGGGAAUUAAUUAGAAAAUUAUCAGUCAGAAUGAACUGAAGUACAAAUUGCUGAAUUAUGUUUGUUAUCUCAGUCUUAAGAGUGUUUUAACAGAAAAGAUAAAAUUAAAUGAAGGCAGCAACCCAGUGAAAAUCAUGUUAGGAAAAGGACGCAUGCUAAUAGAUUUCUUUAUACCACAACACAGCUUUUAAAGAACUAUUGAAGAAGGCAGAAUUAUCAUCCGAGUAAAGAGCAGCUUUGAAGAGAUGCUAUCUAUGUGGGCUUGCCAACAGACCAGAAAACAAAACCCUGGAUUGGUCCAGUGUCUUGUUUGGUUUGGUGGGCACAUGCCAGAAAAGUGAUAAGGUUGGUCUUUCAUCUCACUGCUUUACAACUAGUGUUUUAUUUCCUUGUGGUAUGCACUGGUAUGCAGAACCAACAACUCACCCCCCCGCCCCGAGACACUCAGCCUCAUGAGGAGCCAUGGCAUGAACAAAGCCCUCCUCAGGCCUAACCACUGCUGCCACCUCCCAGGGCUGGUGGAAUGUACGAGUGCCACUCCCUGAGGAGUGCAAGAGUGGGCAGCACAGCAUCUGAUGUGCUUCCCCUAUCACGCUCUGCUCCCUGCUGCUGGCCGUGUGCACCCUGGUUGCCUCGCUGUCGGUGCUCGUGAUAGAGUACUGGCACCUUUUUUCUAGGAAAAGACCACCACCAUUUGCAGCUAUGGGCAGCUUUCAUGCUGGGAGUUGAUUACAAACUUGGGGUUUUGAUUACAAACUUGGUAGACCAGAUCCAGCACAGAUUCAGUUCCUGGAAUAGCCAUGCUAGCUUCCUGGUGAGGUAAUGGCCCUCUGAGUAGGAGCCAGUAAGGUAACAAAGGAAGCGGCUCUGUGCAGGGUGACAAAUGGGUGGUUCACCCUUCCUCAACUCGCUGGUUGUUAGAAAGACAAAGGCUAGAGUUGAGAGUUUGAGUUAUGUGAGCUCGAAGGUAGAAGCAAGGCUGCAGGCUGGGCAGCUGGUAGACAAAGCUAUAUACCUGAUUUCUGAGGGAUUCCAAGGCUGUGGCUGUUGGGGAAGCAAGACCCUCUCGCAAUGCCAGGGACUUGGAGCCAUGAUCUAGGAACCUCAGGAGCUUCAUUAGGCUUGAAAUUAGCCUAGUGAACAACCAUUGGGUUGCAGCAUCCCACCUCAGAUAUGGAAUGGAGAAGAGUGCAGCAUUGACCUGUAACUGGCAGGCAUUGUGAGUCUCUUGUGGCUGGACUCCUUGAUAGUAUUAGUAUCCAUCUCAAUAAAGCAGAUCCUCCUAGCAGUAAGCUGCUUUUCAGAGCCUGGGCCAACAACGGAUCUCAGGGAUGUUGGGCUGAAGAAAACACACUCCAGGGUUGAAUUCAGGUGUGGCUAAUCCUGGGUGUAAACAGUAAAAGGACAAUGAUGGACUAGAGGGAACCGUGGUAUAAAGCAGCUUCCCUUAGCCCAGUGUUCCAGAUCAUUUAAUGGUAAAAAACACACUAAACUAUGUUCCCUAGGUUGCAGACUUGCAGAAGAACAAACAAGACAUAGAGGCAUGAGCAUGGUGCUAUAAUGCAAGCUUGACUGGUGUGUGUGUGUGUGUGUGUGUGUGUGUGUGUACAUUUGCCCCAUAGUUUUUUGGGGAAGAGGGGGAAGGUUGUUACUGUUAUUGUUGAGGAGAAGGCACAUGGCACAGCAUUAAAGAGUUAUGUAUACCCUGAGCCAUUGAAUCAUUCUUAUGUGCCAGAACUCUCAGACAGUUGUACAUCUUGAAAAUUCCAGGUUACAGGAAGGAGUUGAUGAUUUUAUAACAAAUCACAUCCACCAUGAGUGUGGUGUGUAUGGAGAGACAAGUGUUUGCUGAAGGUAAUACGUUAUAAGCCUCUUUUAAUCAAACUGUGUUUCUACCAAAGGCACAGGUAAUCUGACAAGCAUAUUAUCUUUGCUGGCAGAAGCAGCAACAUAGAAAACAGCUCUCAUCAACUGAGAGCAAGGAGAGAAAUGAGCAGGAAGCAGAAUAAAUCUUCCAUAUCUCUUAAUAUAAGAUUCAUUUUUUUGUAUUUUUUAUUUUACUUUAGUUUGCAGUUGGAGCUAUUUAGUACCUUGGAAUUUCCUUGUCCUAUUUGUCAGAGUUGAAGUAUGUAUGACCCUGAACCUUUUUCUCCAGAUUUGAACAACCGUUUGUGAGAUAGAAAGCAGUUGGCAGCUAAGUGGCAAUUCCGGCUUUAUUGAGUGGCUUGGCUCAUAACUGGCUAUUCCUUAUUGAAUUUCCUGUUAACAAACACAACAUGAAAGCACAGCCUCUGAAAGUGUAGAUGUAAACUCAUUCUCCCAUAAAGCUGAGAGGACAAUUUACAGCAUGCAAAAAUAAUUUCUGGCAUUUUCAAUUUUUUUAUUCUUUAUGCCUGUUUUUGGCACAAGGGGGAGGUCAAAAGGAAUUAUCUAAUGAUUGUAGAAGUAGAAAAGAAAUCACAAGUUAUUGUCCCCACUCAUUUUAUAGAAUUCCUCUAGAUUACUUGUUUAUUCAGUAUUUAUCCUUAUUUGCUUACAGAAAUCUUACAGGCUGCUUAGAUUGUGUUCUUUUUUUAUUGAGCACAUUCAGCUAAGUUCUACUUAGAGUUGACCCAUUGAAAUUAAGAAACCUUAGUCAUGUCCACUGACUUCAGUGGCUCUGCUCCGAGUAGAAUUAGCAUUGAAAUAUUGUUCAGUGCACUUCCUUGUCAUUUUCCUAAAUGAAAAAAAGGUCUGGUUUUGUAUGGGUGGGUGUGGAUUGGUGCAGUAGGGCAAGAAGGCACUUUAAUACACUCUAAUUGCAAAUGCAUUAUCACAUUUAGGGACUGCCACUUUAAUGUCCUGGUAAAUAUGGGAAAGAGCAAUGAUGGAGUUAUAUACCAAUUCUUCUUCAUAGUCUCCAUGCAGUCCUGCAUAUGGGUUUUGUGCCUGGGCAAAGCAACAUUUAGCUCUAGAGCUAAACCAGUUGGGCAUGGACAGUACUUUCCCAUUUAGCUUCUGACUGCAGCUGCAGUAUGGCAUGGAGCAAUGACGGUGUCCCACACUUCUCCUAGGCUUCUCACUUCAGGCAACUGAAAAGUAGGCAAGAAUCUUGUGCACAGAAACAUGCCUAGGAAGCUGUUUUAUAUGGAAUAAGACUGCUGGUCCAUCUCAUUCAGUAUUGUCUACACUGACUUGCAGUGGCUCUCCAGGGUUUCAGGCAGGGAGUCAUUUCCAGCCCUACCUGAAGAUGCCAGCCAUUGAACCUGGGACCUUCUGCAUACAAAUCAGAUGCUUUGCAACCAAGCUACAUAUUUCUAUUAAUUUUCUUUUUAUCUAAGAAACAUACAAUAAAAGCUUUAGUCUGUUUGUAGUGAUCAUCUUCUUUAAAAUACACAAUUUACCCCUUUAAGCAUCCUUUCAGACAACCUUAAUAUCUGAAGGGGGGGGGCGAUUUUGCCACAACAUCAUUUAGACAUGAAAGAUCCAUGCUGAACAAGGAGAAUCUUGUGUGGGCAGAACUGCAUUGGUCAGGUUUCAUGGAGGGGUGAGCAUAACCAUUUUAAGGGAGAAAAGCAUCAACUGCUAGUGAAAAACUGACUUUUUAAAACAACAAAAAUAAAGCUGCCAUUCAUCAAAUGGAAAUGGUCAUGCCAUAAAUUAAAAAGGAUUUUUUAAAAGUUAGCUUUCUUUAAAAUAAAUAAAUCAGUGCUCUAGAUGGGAUAGUGUAUCACUGGCUAGAGCCCUGGUAAAAUAGCAUCAACCCUUGAGACUCAACAUUUUUUCUUUGGACAUCUGCCUAAUAAAAGAAUUGCCUUGUGCUGAGUUAUCUAGUGUCUCCCCUCCUCACUGGCACUUCCAUCUGUGAUCCACAGGACACCCCCCCACCAUUUGUGCAUGUCUUAUUAUUAUUAUUUGUUUACUAUGUUUUCAAGACUUCUUCCUUGCACUGAUCAUUAAAUUGCUCUUUAAACUUCCUUGGAUUGCCAAAUAAGUGUAGCAAUUCGAUACUUGAGCCAUUUCAAGAGGAAAAUUAGGGGCUAAUUGGCAUGCAUGAACUGACACAAUUUUUUCCUUUAAAUAACUUUCAUGCUAAAUUAUAUAUAUUUUCAGUUAGGGCUGAUGCACACGAAGUUCCUUGAGCCUGGCUUUUAAGUUUAUGUUUAAUUCCUUGUUUAGAUAAUGCUCAAGCAUUUCACUACUGAGGACAGUCCUACAAAUGUGGUUCUUGUCUUUAUGUUGGCAUUCUAUCUUCUACUCACUAGUCUUAUGCUAGGACCAACUGGUCUUGGCUCUGACUCAACAGCUUAACCUACUUGUCCACCCUAUUCCAAUGGCUCUUGGGACACAUUACCUGCUAUGACCUUGGCUAGCUAUACACAGUCUUGGCUCUGACUGAUUCUGAUGCAGCAAGUUGCCACUUCCACACAUAUCCUAGAUAAGCAAUUUCACCACUCUUUCCUGUUUGAUAGCCCAGUUCCCCUUGAGUAUCUGAAAGUGUUCAUAAGAUAGCUAUCACAGAGAGACAUAUGGGACAAUGUGGAAUCCUACACAUGCUUGGGAGUGAAAAUGUGCUUUCUGCCCAUCCAGCUAGGACAUCUGCCCUUCAUUGCAACACACUGGGUGUAUUGUACUUAUUUGUAUGCUGCCUUUCCACAGUGAACUAUGCUCAGGGUGGCUCACAACACCAGAAAGUUUGUACGCUUCACUAACAGUUACAAAUUGAAAUAAUCAUAAAAAUAGGCGUGCGUGCACGUGCACGUGCGCACACACACACACACUUAUGUAAUAUUCUUAAAUGCAGAAUCCAAAAUACACAGCCCUAGAUUUCACCCUUCAUAUUGCACCCUAUGUGUGUCUGCUUUUAUGCAUAUACGCCUUAUUAAAAAAUAUGUUCAAAGUGUAGAUAGAUGGCUAGUUGUACUGGAGAUGAGGCAGGCUUGCUUGGAGAGAGAGGAAACAUGCUUUUGCUCUACAUCUUGUACAGAAUUGCGCAUGUGGGCAAGAGCUUAGCCAAUCUAUUUUACAGAGUCUUUGGAAUCAUACUGCUAACAGAUUAACGUGCAAGUUCAUGAGUAUUUAAAAGCAAAUUGCAGUUCUUAAUCAUUUGGAGCUUACAGUAAUGCAAUGAAGCUUCUUUCUUUCUGUGGUAAGAUUUAGUGAUCCUUGGGUCUCUAUAGUUUCCAGACUACCUUGAGAUUUUGUAGUUCUGGAAAGUCUGGUGCAUCAAACAUAGUAUAAUUUUCACAGUCUGGUUUAUAAGACAUCAGUGGAAUAAAUCACAAGUGCUGGAUGCAGAGAUAUCUGGCUGAAACGGAACAAAAAGUCAGAAGACACAUCAAGACAGUGUGCAAACUGUGGGGAAUGUAACGAGAAUCACUCUCCUAGAUAGACUAUGGAAACAUUCAAAUGAAUUUGACCUUGCACUUCAGACUUGUUUGGAGUAAUCCAGAGUGGCAAUGGGGUCAUAGCUGUGUGGAUGCACUAGCAGAAAUGCAUUUGAACUACUUCUAGUUGCCCUGCCCCAUCCAGGCAGGCCCGUGGACAGGGUGGGGCAGCCAGGUAAACUUGCCCUGGGUCUUGGAGGGAAAAGCUGGACGGGGAGCCCUGCUAGGGGCUGGCUGCAUUUUUGUUUGAAUUUAUAACUUUAUUCUAACAGGACUCCUGCCCUGGACCUCAUGCAAGCUCUGCACAAGCCUGCACCCAGGUAAGCCUCAGAGAUGCUGGGGUCUGCAGCUCUAUCCCACCACACUACCUGCCUCCGCAAGUAAGCAUGAAUGCACUUUCCAAAUGCCAUGGGAAGUAAAGACGGGCAGUGUUAGAGUCUGGACCACCCCCUCUUGAGAUAGCUAUGUAUAUCAUUUCAUUCAAAAUGUGGUAAGCCAGUUCUGCUUUAGGUGAAUGCAGUCAAAGGCUUGCCCUGACAGCUGGACUGUUGCGAGGUAUGUGCUGGUGUGCUAAAAUAUGCUCCUGUGGUCCAGCCUGAUUUGCCAACCAUUACUAAUUCUCAUCAUUAACCCCCAUCCCCCAGGACUUGCCGGCUCUGCUUCCCUCCAACUUCCUAUUGUAUUGUUGUCUUGCCGUUUUACUACAUUUGUUCAGGAAGCCCACCAUUUUUCUCAGCACUGCUGCCCAUCUGCUGAAUGAAUGGGCACAAGCUUCUCGGGUUUGUCAGGACAAAGUGAAGGAUGCCUCAUAACUGCGUCAUCUCUCCUGAGGUAGUGUGGUGGUUAUAAAUGAGCUAUGCAGUAAAAGGAGAGUCAACCCCAUUUACACUUGUUCCCUACCUCAUUAGGUGCUACUUUGAGAGCUUGUUUUUGUAACAAUAGCUGUCAGGCAACAACAGGAUGACUUUGGUUUAAAUGUCUGUUUGUAGAACUUACUGGUGGGGGGAAAGUUGUGUUGAGAAGCUGCUCUUGAUGUAUUGAGACAGCUGAAAAGUUGUGAGGUGAGAAGUACAUGAGGAUAGCAAAUGUGUGGUGUCAAAAUUAUUGAUUAACUAUGUGGGGUGUGUAUGAAUCUCUAUCUCUCUCAUGCUCUCAGACACGUAUGAAUGGUAAUCCUUGUGCUAGACCACAUAAGGUGAAUUACAACUAGGGAAUAAGUCACACCUUAGAAGUGGAAGGUAUUUAAUGAAGUGACUUGUUACAUUUAUUUAUCUUUUCACACCAUCCCUAUAACACUGUGUUGUUCCUAAUGGUCUCAAGGCACUUUAACUUGGUCAGCCAAGAGUUAAGGGAAUUUGCUAAAUCCACAGCAGCAACAAAGAAAAGUGUAGAAAAAUUAUUAGUGGCUAUUAUGGGAUAUAAUAUAGGGUACCUAGCAAAAUGCAGCCUGAUUUAAUUGACAAAAAGUGUCAGUGAAUAAAGAAUGCAGAUCAAUAAUUAAUUUUACCUUCAUUUUAAUAUUUUAGCCCUAGACAGAUUUAGUGCAGGCUGAAUGUAGUAAAAGCCUGAUUUAAAUUCUCUUUCUUUGAAGUGUUAUGAUGGGACUGUAAGAGAUGCUUCUCUCCCUCUCCAUAUCUCCAAAUUCCAAUCCAUAUAAAAACCUCAGAAAACAGUCCAUCUGGAAAGAGGCAGAUAUAACCCUGAACACAGACAUUUAGUUCUGCAUCUGUCAUUGCUGGAUGUCUAAAUAAAAUGGGGAAGCUGCAUAUAGCUGAAAAACCUUGUCAAAAAUUAACAUGGGGACAUGAGCAGAUUUUAGAUGACUUUUAAAUAAGAAGGUGAUGUGUGACGGACCUUUUGGCUGCUAAAUACAGAACUAGACACCAGGCAGUUUAAACAGAAGGAAAUAACUGAUGCAGGAGGACAGAAUGAUGUUUGGUGGUCAUUAUAACAGGUUCUGAAGCAAUCUAUUAUGUCAGAUUUGUGACCUGUAUUGGCCAGGCUACCAUCUGAGAUGAUGAGAGUGUUAAGUCUUUGGGGGGCAUCUUCAGCCUUGGGGGAGGGCACCAACCUUCUUUAGGCCCAGGGACACACUUAGAUUUUUGAGUGACCAUCAGCCUCCCUGUUCACUUUUUCCCUUCCUCCCCGGAUCAAGCCCUUUCUUCUCUUCACUUUUCCAAGGAAUCUGGGUAGAAGUCAGAUCCAGCAGAACAAACCUGUACCUUGGAAAACACAGAGGUGAAAAAAGGUGGAAAUGAGCACCAUUCUUACGACUUCCUCUUCUAGCUUUAUGUUUUCCCCAGUGAGAAUAGGGUAACCACCCUCACCAUCUCAUGACAAAGGGAACAGUGAGUGGGAGGGCUCAGAGUCUUUCUGGGUGACAGGGAAAGACACUGAGGGUGACAUUACACUCACAGACACCUGCCUUGGGAUGGAUGUUUUGAAGUUAUCCGUGGCAACAGAAGAACCCCAUCACUCCUCCUUCCUCAGUGUGCACCUCUAAAGGGAAACCCAUUCACCUCUUUUGUGAUGCAUGUGGAAGCUCAGCAAACUUUCACUUUGCAUGUUAUGCAUAAAGUGUGAAAAGUUGACAUGGAAGGGAUCUCUUGCUAUUGUGUGUAACAUCUGAAACUGGAUUUCAAAACUGUGGACCCUGUGCCUAGAGAUAAGAGUGAGCAUCUGCACAAACAGCAGACCUGCACCACCAAGCCAACCAUAGCAUACCAGCCACAUAUAUGGUAUGGAGCCAACACUGCCUCCCCCUGGGUUUGCAGGGCAAACAAACAAAAACAAUUAUAAAGCCUGUAAUCUCUAUGCAUAGUUACCUGGAAGUAAGUGCCAUUGAACAGUGAGAAAUACUUCUAAGUAAACAUGCUGGGAAUGCACUGCAAGCCAUAGAUGGACCACAUGUUGCAUUUUGUAGGCCAUAUGUUGUACAGGCCUCAUCAAAGCAACACUAUGCUGACACUAGAAAGCAUCUAGAAAUGGUGUACCAAACACUCAGGAGUUGUUUUGUCCCUGCACUCUCCUGUUGGACUGAUCAGUUCAGCAGAGAACAUUGAUCAACUGUACUACAGAACGCCAAAUUACAGGGUGGGAAAUUCAGCUUGCAAAAUUUAUGUCUUCCUGGAUUAGUUUCCCCACCCUGCUCUUUAACGGAUAUGAUGUGAUAUAUAUUGUGCCUUACACCUCAGGUUUUGCCUUCUGUUGCAUUCUGCAAUAUUCAUCCCAAAGAUACUCAGAAUGCCAUUAAAGAUAUGCAAGAAUCCCAGUAGGAAGUUGAGCUAAAAGUGCCCUGGCUGUAAUUGCAGAUUGGAAAUAUUCUCAAGCCUGCUUUGCAUAAUAGUUCAAACCAUCUCUGGGCCUUUGAGUUUUGAUGCAAACAGAGCAUUAGUUUACACCAAGGCAGAGGCUCAUGCUGCAAAAGAGCCUGACAGGUACAUUUGGGCUAGGUUAUAAUGACUGCACAGAAUUGAAUUUUAGUGCUUGCAUUGUGUUUAUGUAUAUGAGCAUGAUGAUUUAGAGCACCAACAUCCUGUAUUUGUCUUAUUAUGAGUGUGAAUAUGAGCUUUGGCUUUUUAUGCAGAUGAAAAAUAAUCACCUGUCUUGUACACCUUGAAUAAAUCAUCCAACCAGAACUGCUAUUGAUGUUACAUUGUCUUGCGGUUGUUUUGAAUGUCAAAGUGAAGUUAGUAUGAAAACAAUUUUUAUUCCACCCAUUACCAUUUACCUUAAUUCCUUAUCAUGGUAAAAAUAUUCUCUUCAAGCUCCCUGCUCCCCAAUGUCACUUGUGGAUUUGUCAACAUACAGCCAUCACUUUACUUCCUGUUACAGUGGUACCUCUGGUUACAAAUGCUUUGGGUUACAAACGCUUCAGGUUACAGACUCUGCUAACCCAGAAGUAGUACCUUGGGUUAAGAACUUUACUUCAGGAUGAGAACAGAAAUCGCACCGUGGCGGCAGCGGGAGGCUCCAUUAGCUAAAGUAGUACCUUGGGUUAAGAACAGUUUCAGGUUAAGAACGGACCUCCAGAACGAAUUAAGUUCUUAACCAGAGGUACCACUGUAUAUGCAAUAGAAAUAGAUAUGUGAAUUUUUGCCAUUUUUUCAUUUCCUUUUUAGUUAUUGUGUGGUCAUUGUUGGUGGCCUAAAUACUCACAUGUGAUGAGGAAAAUCUACUUGCUGAGCAGCUUUCAAAGGUUAAAACUCAUGUCCAGAGUCUUUGCCAUGCAGAAUAAUUUUCUGACAGGACCUUCAUGUGAAAACUAUUCCUGAAAAUCAUGGUCAAGACAGUACAACAGAUAUAAUAUGUGCUGGAUCCAGACUUCAUUCUGCUUCUCACCCUCUUCAGAUCCCCUUGUAACCUCUUUCUAGGGAUGAAAUAAUUUGUCAAUUUCAGUCUCUCAUUUUUCUAAACUUAAAUUCAGUUCUCCACAUUUCACCAGCAAUUUGUGAUUUUUUUAAAGAAAAAAUACUCACGAAAAUUCUGCAGCAUUUUAGUGUGAAUUUCUCCUGCUAAACACAUUUACGCAUACAGCUUUGACUAAUGUACAAUUAUUUGCAAGCAAUUCCUCAUAAUAUAAUGCAUUUUUGUAUGCUAUCUUCACUAACAUAUUGAUAUGCAGUUUCUCCAACACAGUGGUACCUCUGGAUAUGCACACCCCCGGUUACGUAUCCUUCAGGAUGUGAACGCGGCAAACCCAGAAGUAUUUUUCUGGGUUUCGCCGUGCAUGCAUGCACAGAAGCGAUCCCUCCGGUUGUGCAAACCUCGGGAUCUGACUGGAGCCCCGGAAUGGAUCCCGUCCACAACCAGAGGUACCACUGUGUAUGCAUUUUUGUAUAUAUUCUUCCUUUGGAGAACUGCAUCGUAAAAUUCAGCCAUGUGGGAAUUUUGAACAAUGUGCUAAUAUGGCUUUAACUGUGAACUGAAUUGAAUUUCUUCUCAGUCCCUACCUCUCACACAGUGUCCUGGAUGAAUGGAGGACCCUUCAUGUUCUCAGUAUGGGAUGUGGAGGUGUCAGCUGCAGAGUGAGGGAGAACUCAGCACGAGUUGCUCCUUCCUACUAGUGGGAUUUUGCCACUGGAUCAAAAGACUCCUGUGGACAGAGGAAGCCUUGAAUCUGAUCUAGUAUCUGUUGUAGUUAAAAUGGGCUGAAUAGAAAAUGUGCAUAAAACACCAUGUUGUGUGCACAAAUGUACAGCAUAAGCAGGGAAGUAUGGUUUUACAUAAAUAUUCCUAGCUUUCAAACAGUAUUGGGGACUUUGCGUGCAUGUUCAUUCAUUUUGGUUGCAUAUGCACACCCUGCAGUUAAUAUGGGAAAUGCUCACAACCAUGCAGGCAUGUGGCUGCCUGUAUCAUUUUUAAGAGUUACCACCAGUGCAGGUUGCUAAUGUCAGCAGCGGGAACUCCUAGCCAACCAACAGACAGCCUGCAUGUUGUGAGCAUUUUACACAUUCAUGCUACUACUGGGGACACAUAGUGAGUCAGCAGCUGCACACUCAAAUGAUGCCAACUCUGGUGAUCCUCUGUGUUGGCAUAUAAUCUCAACUAAUAAAGUACUGGGGGUCUUCUCCUCUUCAGUCUCCAUUCAGCAAUGGUGGCCUCUUCCUAGCCCUUCUUAUCCAUCACACCACCUUCCAGGCCAACACUGCAUUUUAAUUCUUUGCAUUAUUUGGAUUACCAGCCCAUAACAAGAAGUUCAGUAUUGAUCAAUGAUCAGCCAUUGCAGUUUAAUUUGUCUAAUGGUCAGCAAGUGCCAUCUUGGUAUAUUGCCGGCUGAAUUUGAUUAUAUUUCAGACAGUAUUAAAUGAAACUCCUUUUGAUCAAUAAAGCAGGUGAAGAGCUUCAAGUUAGUCAAGCUUUGAUUAUAUAGACAUGUACCACAUAUCUUACUGGAAGCUUAUUUUACUAGGGGCUGGAAGUCUAGGUCAGUCCAGUCAAUGCUAAAGAUAAGUUGCUAUGCAAGGGAACUCUAGCUUGGGAGCUGCGGUGAAACUGCCUUAAAAGAGUACAGAUUGAAUGUAAACAUUUCUUAAAAGCACUGUUGAAAGUACCUUCUUGGUUUAGAUUUUCAAGCUCGUUGGGUUGCACCUCUAGUCCAUAUUUGAUCACAAUGCAGGUAAUCAUUAAUCAUGUGAAGCCACAGCACACGCCAGAAUUUCCUGCGUCUCAUUGGCCUUGCCUAUCAUCCCUCAGGACCAAGGAUGGGGAACAUGUUGCCUUCCAUAUGUUGGGCAACAAAGCUCCCCUCAUCAAUGACCAUCAGCAAUGCUGGCUGGGACUGAUGUGAGCUGAAGCCCCCAAACAUCUGGAGGGCUGCAGAUUCCCACACUCCUGCUAUGACACUUAAGGGAAUUUCCUUGCUGGGCACAGCAUGGGAUUACAAAAAGGUGGAGCUGGCAUACACCAAAUUUGUGAUUAGAUAGAAGAGUCAUAAUGCAGGUACCUAAGAGGUUCUUCUAUGUUUCAAGCAGUGGAGAAAUAAAUACUACCUAGCAUUUAUGUAGUGCUUUUAGAGUUUUAAGUGCUUUCCUCAUCUAAAUCCAUCCUUCUGUACAUCAUUUCCAUCAGAAAUUGAAGAUACUUUUGUUUGAAUUGGCUUUUAGUGUAUAAUAUCGUUUAGUUGCUGCUGCUCCCCCCUUUUAAGAGUAGAACACCAUUUUAGCCUCUGUACUAUUGGUUUUCUUCAUAUUGGUUAUUCAGUGAAUCAAUCAAUCAAUCAAUCAAUCAAUCAAUGUCAUUUGUACACUUAGGAUUAUACUGUACUGUUUUUAUCCAUAUUCUGGAAGCUACUUAGGGUCCAAUAGCUGAAAGUCACAUAUAAAUUAAGUUGUUAUUAUUAUUAAAACACACCAAUUGCUUUAGGUAUCCUUUAUGAACAAUCCUGUAAGGUAAGCAAAAAAUGUGAAUGGAUGAAUGACUUACGUACUUGUUCUUCCUGCUGUCUUGUAAACAUGCAAAUUUGCUUGGUGACAGUCUUAAUUAAUAGCACAUUCUAGUCUGAUAACAAUGAAUCACCUUAGGUUGAUGGAAAAGUACAUCCUUUACAUGCAGAAGAUACCUGUUUCAAUUCCCAGUAUAUCUGAAUAGGGCUGAGAAUGUCUCCUAAAUGGAGAUGCACUGUCUGUCAGUGUAGAGAAUACUGAGUUAUGUCGACAACUAAUAGCUCCCAUGCCCUCGUGCUUUAAAUUGGUAGCAGACUUAGCAGCAGAGCUAACAGGAAUGGGUUUCUCACCUACAGUUUGUUAUGAGCUGUUUGUCUCUUGCACCAUGGUUCCGGCUGCAGAUUUGUUGUGCUAUAUUAGUAAAUGUGACCUAGUUCACCCAUCCUCUUUACCUUGCCUCUCAGUUUCCCUGCAUAGUCUCAAUGAGUUGCUCAAGAGAUGAUCUAGUUGAAAUGAACAUGCAGGGGAUGUUCAGCCGGCAUGUCUGCAAUGUGAAAUACUGCAUUUAUAGCCUCACUCAGCAGCCAGUGUAAUUAGGAUACUAGGACAACAUUAUUUUUUUUAACAGAAAAUACUUUGAGGAGAAUUACUGGGUUGCACAAAUAAAAUAAUGUUGAUCUCAAGUGAGGUUUUUAACAUACAUGACGGUGGCAGGGAGGAAUCUACCAUGUGUCUUAAUGUUAUUUUGUGCUCACUGGACAAUCCCCAGAAUCCAGGUGAUUUGCUUUGUAACUGAAGUACAGUGGUACCUCUGGUUAUGUACUUAAUUCGUUCCGGAGGUCUGUUCUUAACCUGAAACUGUUCUUAACCUGAAGCAUCACUUUAGCUAAUGGGGCCUCUCGCUGCUGCCGCGCCACCGGAGCACGAUUUCUGUUCUCAUCCUGAAGCAAAGUUCUUAACUCGAGGUACUAUUUCUGGGUCAGCGGAGUCUGUAACCUGAAGCGUAUGUAACCCAAGGUACCACUGUGUAUAUGUAAGGAGAACAGUGGGCUGUGAAUAUUUUGCUUCCUUUGUUUUGUGGGAGGGAAAUACAGCUUUUGUGAACUGCAUGAAAUGUAAGGUUUUAUUUCUACACUUAGUUCACCUUGUUCCUAGGAACAGAAAAGACCACAAUUUUAUGAUGGAAACAUUCUGCUACAGGAUACAAGUCAAACUUUAACACUGGAUUCCCCACCCACCCCUUAACUUGCAGAUUGUUUUGUUUUAGUAACUGGAUUUAGUAGGGUGAACUGAGGAAGGGACAGUUCAUGCAUGCAAGUUAAUCAUGUACAAAUAAAAGCAAGUUGUGACUUACAUGGAUGUGUGAAUGCACCACCACAAAUUACAGACCACAAGUAGAGUGUAAUGUUGUUUCAUUCACGCAUUCAACUUUCAUAAAAUGUGGAGUGAUGAGACAACUCAUAGGCUUGGUUUAGACAUAGACUAAUUCAUACCUAUUCAUAAUAAUUUAUAGGAAUGAAAGGUAAUUCAUAAACCAACUGAUAGGUCCAGUUCAGACAUAGCUGGCACCCAUGGUUUCCCACAACAUGAAUAGUAAUUUCCAAUAAAUAAAUAAAAUGUUCAGUCUUUGAGCUUGCACACUCCUCUCCCCACCCUCCCUCUUUUACAUGCCAGACGAAACAUAUGAAAACUUCCAUUUCACUUUUAACAACCACAGUUCCCUACAGUUAUUUAUUUAAGCUAUGGUUUGAGAACAAGUCAGAAUCUGAAAUAACAAUUUGAUCCUGGGUUGUAUCUAAUGAUAGUUGUAAACAAACUGCAGUUAAUAGGAGAACUAUGAUUUGUUUAAAAGUUGUUUCAACAGGUUAGUGCUUCUGGCUGUUAACCAGAAGGUUGGUGGUUUAAGCCCACCCAGAGACUGCUGUGGGCAAGAUUCCUGCAUUGCAGUGGAUUGGACCAGGGUCCCUUCUAACUACAAUUCUAUGAUUAUAUAAAGUGGAAGCUAUUGAUCUCUUUCAGUAGAGGCUUGUCUCUAUAGCAGGGAAAUAUGUCUACCUAUUAUGGCUAAACUGGAUCACAGAGUGCCUCCUUAGGACUCAGUGGAGUUGAACUAUGUUGAUCAGAUCUAGAAACAUCCAGAAGUGGUGACCUGAGUCAUUAAAUUCUGCUCUGUGGAUAGCCGCUACAAAUGAUCAAGAGGGAAAAAUGAUGACUAGUACUUCAUAGGAAUUGCUUUUCAAUUGAAAGUGGUUGCCACUAUCCCACUGAAGCUGGAAGAGAUCCUUUCAGAAGUCUCCCAUGAUAAUGAAUCGAGCUAAGUAGAAGCAGUUGAAUAAAAAUUGUAUGUAGCCUAAAUUCACUUUGACAUUCAAAACAACCAAAAGUAAAUGUAACAUUAAUAGUAGUUCUGGUUGAAUGAUUUAUUCAAAGAUGUACAAGGCAGGUGAUUAUUUUUAGUCUGCAUAAGCCAAAGCUCAUAUAUAUGCAAUGAGACAAGUACAGGUUGCUGGUGCCCUAAAUCAUCCUGCUCAUAUACGCAAACACAACACAGGUAUCAAGAUUCUAUUCUAUGCAGUCAUUAGAAUAUUGCCCAAAUGUACCUAGCAGGCUGCUUCACAAGAACCUCUGCCUCAGUGUACAUAAAUGCUUUAUGUGCAUCAAAAUUCACAGGCACUUCUACAGUCUAGAAAUGGCCAGCACUAUUAUGCAAAGCAGGGAUUUAGGAUAUUUCCAAUCUGUAAUUACAGCUGGGGCAGUUUUAACUCGACUCCCUACUGGAUUUCUUGUAUUUCUUUAAUAGCAUUCUGAGUAUCUUUGGGAUGAAUAUUGCUGCAUGCAGCAGAAGGCAAAAUCUGAGGUGUAGGACACAUUAUAGAUCACAACAUAUCCAUUAAACAGAAAAAUACCCCUUGCCCCCAUGGUCAUAAAUUUUGCAAACCAGUUUCCCUCCCUAUAAACUAUACAUUAUAAAUGACUAGAAAACAACUUUUUUUCAGCAGAACUUAUCUCCUGGAAGACAUAGAGGUCUCCCCCCCCCCUUUUAGGGUGGAAACAAGAUCUAGUGAACAGUUUCACAGUUCUUGCCAAUAUCCCACUCUCAUUUAAACCUAAGCAAUCCCAAAGCUAUGAGGUUGAUGUGUUUAAGUUUCAAGUUCUAAAGCUGAUUAAAUGCAUUUAGAUACAUACUGUCCACCUGAGGUUCUUGUAAAAGUUCAAAACAGAAUCCUUGCAUUCAAAGGAUAGUUUUCCUCGUCUGCAUCUCACUUGCUCAUUUUUGUAAACCUGUAGAUUAUAAAUAUGGGUUUGAUUUUUAUUGAGGCUGAAGAGUGUGGUUUAAACAUGAUGCUGCUUUGGUGCUUGCUCCAGUACUACCAAUAAAUAAUGCCACCAAGUGGCUACAUUCCGACAUCAUGUUUUUAAUUCUCCAUGCCUCCUUCCUUCAUACUUCCUGGCAUGGUCAUUCAAUGUGCUUGAAGUUAUGUUUGAACUGUAAAACAAUUAUUUGAGUGAGCCCUCAACAUGGGAUGGCAGACCAGGAUCAAACUGUGGUUUGCAAUCUUGGUUUGGAGGGCUUGCUCAAAUCAUAAUAAACACACAACAGUAAACUAUGGUUUGAUCAAACCAGUAAGUGAUAUGUUAAAUUGCACAAAUGCAGGGAGAAGCGCAGAAGAGAGAAGAGGAGGGAACUUGCCAGCACAGGGCUUCUUGACCCUUCACAUCAUGGUUUUAAGGAUUGGAAAUGUGAAAUCUGAAUGCAGAGAGUAAUAACGUAACAAUUUACAGGUGUGUGGGUUAGGCACCAAUCUUAGGCAGACAUUGUCCCAUUACCUCAUCUUAGGAAAGGUGUAUCAGUGUCUUCCCUCCAAAUUAUAUACUGAAUAUGUAACAAUGGAUUACAUUUGUGCAUAUCUAGGAAUCUUUGUACUUUGUUUCUGGUACUAUUUAACAGACAAUAAGUAUUAGGAUAAGAAAGAGGCACACAGCCUAGGAUAAAAGUCUCUUUUUGUUAAGCACUGCAAUGCAGUGAACAGCAGUUUACCAGGUGUUUCACUACUGAUAGUGCUUUUUUCCUGGGGUGUGUGUGCGCAGGGGGCGCAUACCCCUAAACAUUUUGUGAAUCUAAGUUUGGCCUCAUUGAGGGGCAGUAUUUCAAUAUGAGUAGGAAAAUGGGAGUACCCCUAAACAUUUUUUUAAAGAAAAAAAGCACUGACUACUGAUAUCACAAAACGACAUCUAUAUCAGCCUUUGAGAAUCUGUGUCUGUUUCCCUUUUUCUUCCCUUGGUACUGUAUUUCAAACCUGAGAUGUCAUCCAGAGUGUGGCAUAUUUGUGAUGGAGUGUCACUAUUACCAGCUCAUUCUUUAAUUAGAGGUCAGAUACGCUGGCAGAAUCUCUAGUGACUCUAACCCAAUAACCAUUGGCAAGUUUGAUCUAUGAGAGAGUCAAUCAAUAUUCUCUGGGCCACCACACAUUGGAAUCCGAUAUCUGGUUUGUUUGCCAGUCUCUUCUCAUUUGUCACUCAGAGAAGGCUACUUAACAAGUGUUUACAUUUAAUUCCUCUUUAGAACAGAAAUACAUUUAAUAUGUAAAAGUUGCUCAUUUAGCUGGUAUAGUGUGGAUUGAGAAGUCUCUGGUUCAAAUCUUGUAGAACAACUCAGCUUCAACCUAUCCUCCCUAGUCAGCAAUCUGCUACAAUCAUAAUAACUUACUUUGGUAGUAUAAUAUUACUGGCCUAUUCAUUGCUGCUGCUACUGAUUAAUUAUAAUCCUAAGGAUGAAUAUUGGACUACUUCACAUUUCUACUUAGCAUGCCAGAAGUCUAUAGGUUUAGGUAGGGGUGUGUGAUGCUUCUCAUCAUGCAUAAAAACAACUAUAAUCAGAGUAAUCAGUGUGGUUCCUGCAGAUAACAGUGUCCCCACCAGUACUUCCUAUUGCACCCACAAAAGUAGCUAUUCCCUCAAAAAUUCGUGUUCAUAGUCAGUUGCUGUUUACACGGGUUCAGCCUCUCCUACACUGAAGACACUAUCCCAACAGUAGCGAUUUUGGGUCAUUCCAUAUCCCAUGGCAGCCAUUUCCUACAGUAUUUGCCAUGGCUCCAUGGUAGCCAUUUUGUGAUAUGCUAUGCCCCAAUGGCAAAUGGCAGCUAUUUUAUGACUGGAGCCCACAGCACCCUCCAAAAUUCCAAAUGUGCCCACUCAUCCAAAAAUUUUGAACUAUAUGAAGUACCUAUUUUGUUUAGGAAGCAUGUUGCUGAAACAAAGCUGUGUGUGAUGGAUAGUACCAAUUGUACUUGAAAUACCUGGACUAUGAUGUAAGUAGACAUGCAGCCUCCUUAGCAUGAAAUACUGUAAUUUGGAUACUAUGAUUUAAAUUUGAACCUUAGCUCUAGAGGUCAAAUGCUUGGUACAAGUAGAGCACUUGACCCUGAGAUAAGUAUUUUAAUUUUAUGUCUACAGCCAUUAGUUACUGUACAUAAUAGCUGCUAUCUACUCUCUGACUAUUUAUUUCAGUAGGUGCUAUCUGACAACUGAGGCAUGAGCUAAUGAUAAGAGAAUUUACAUAGUCAAUACGAAUGCAUCAAAUAAAUUAGAGUCUGUGCAUUCAUUGUGGAGAUUUGAGUUAAAAGCCAGCAAACAAUUGUGUAUGCAGGAGUGAAUGGGUGCUUUUUUCUGAUUUGACUGGAUUUUAUUAUACUUUGGAGCCCUCAGCUGAUAUAUAAAUGUUCUGGACUGUGGGAGAAGAAAGUUUUAAAACACAUCUGAGAGUGAAACUAAGGCACCAGAGCACUUAAUUCUCCUCAUGGCCUGCUCAUUUAGGUCCUGCUUUGAAUAAUUGAGAGUAGCUUCAAACUCUGUGUUCUUUUUACUUUGUAGUCAUUAUCAAAUAAUAUUUGGUAAUUCAGAGAAUGUUAGUUAUGCUAAGGCAGCAGGCUUAUACUUACCUGGAAGUAACUCAUGGACAUACUGAGUGAGAAUGCAUUAGAAUACAUUGUAAGUCUCAUUGAACUCAACAAGGCAAGGUAGUUACAACUUACAUAUAUCCCACUGUUUCCUUGGGGUGGGUGGCUAUAAUAGGAUACACAGAGUGAUCCUGCAUAACCUGGAAAAAAACAAAAAACCAUUUAUUCCCAUGCAACUGUAUUACAGCAUGGAGAUUCUUGACCUUACAUCAAGCACCAAACAAUUACAAUUUCCAUUCAAAAUUGCCAUACUACCACUGAAACACCUGGUGUCAGAAUUCAGCAAUUUCCCUCCUUGGAGUUUGCUUCUUACGGUACUUUGAAAAAAUGAUAUACAAAUCAAAACUGACAUUGAAAAAUACUAUUUUUCAAUUAAUAUUUGCACAUUUUAUGAUUUGUGCACAUGAAACUUUUUGAGAAAACUAAGUGUUCUUUCUUUGGCUGCUAGGAUUUAAAAAGCUCCACUCCCCGUAGAGAGCUACAGUUUCCACAGUGGUUCAACUGUCAGUCCCUCUUCACAGGAAAAUACGGGAAUUGCACCUCUCUGUGGGGCAUAGGGGGUCUCCUAACAACUCUUUAGCAAGUUACAGAUCCCAAGAUUCUUUGGGGAAAACCAUGGCUGCAUAAAGUGGUAUAAUAGUGCCUUAAAUGUAUGGCGUGAAUGCAGGUUGGCCCCUGCCAAGGGUGCAGGGCACAGGGGGCACAAAACUGGCUCAGAGUGGCUAGGAACCAGUCUAUCCAUUCCCUGGGCCGCUUCUUCGUUGCUCAGUUGAGAAAUCCAGUUGCUGUCAUGGGCUGUCCUAGCAGCCCUGCAGGGGUUCUCCCCAGUGCUAUGAGAAGUGUGAGCAGAGUGCUCAGUAGGGCUCGAAGGGAAGAAGAUAGAGUGGGUGAGAGUUGCAGGAGGAGGGAAAAGGAAGGAAGGGAGUAAGGAGACAGAAGGAAAAGCAGCAAGUGGAGGGAGGCAGGCAGAUAGACUGACAGAGGAGGAGGGGGAGGAGCAGAGCAGACCUGACCUGACCCUGAUGGCUGUUGUCUAGGAAGUCACUGGUGGAGCAUGAAAGGUGAUGAAAAGCAAACUUUCUGGUCCAUGGUUUCUCCUGCUUUGGAGGUGCCAAUACCUCUCCUUGCCAAGGGAGCAAGGGAACCUAGGUAUGUUUGGCCUUAGAAAAACCCUGUAGACCUUUGCAAUAAAUAUGCAAAGGUCUGAUCUGCAGCCUGUACACUCAAAUGUCUAAACGUGGCUUAUGCAUUGCACUAUACUUAUGACUAAAUCCAUUCCUGAUAGAGAAAGCAUUAUUUCCAAAAGCUGUUUCAUACUUACGACAUAUACACAUCCACAUGCAUAAUCCACAUUCAAAAGUUUAGGAGGACUCUCUCAAAUAAUAAUAGACAUAAAACCCGUACAUGCCUGGAGUCAUUUUGGAGAGAAAGUGACAAUGUUUUUUCCUUUCAGAUUUCGCUCUUGCUCCCACAAGUAGGGAGUCAAAAAUAUAUAACUUAAGUAAGCUAAGACAUGGGAAGAGAGACUCCCUGCCAAGAUAGUCAGAAAAGAGACUUAAUGUUUAAAUAAGGUCUGGUUUACACAUUGCUUUGGAUUCAGACUAAGUUAGCAAUCAGGCUGAGCAUGACUGGAUUUCCAUGAUCUCUGUGCCAAUUACAGCUGAUGGCUUUGUUCCGAACUUCAGCCUUCUGACUUCUUUUGGAGGAAAUGGACUUUUAGUGUUUCCCACGGUAUGGCACAUGUCUCCCAUGGAACUGGAGAACUGUAGCUCUGCUAUUUCCUUUCAAGCAGAGAAUAUCAUUGGCACAGUGACAACAAACUGUAUUCUGCCAAAAGCAGCUGAAUUGCCUAUAUACCUCUGCUGGGUUGCUGGUCCCCUGGUGGAUGAGUAAAGCUCUUUAUUUUCCAUUGGGGGAUGUUCACAAAAAUAGAAUAGACACACACUCUUGAGGUACAGUACGGGAACUUACAAAGCAACUCCCACAAUUUACCAGUGGUUGCAGUUUAAUGCUAAAAAGUUAUUUUGUACUCUCCUUGUGAGAUGAGAUCAAAAUACUUGGGGGCAGCUAUGAUAACAGCAUGAAAACACACCACAUGUUUAGACCAAGGCAUACAACAGAGGCAUUUAACCAUUACCCAAUGCCAACAGAACACAUUCAUGUGAGUGAAUGGCACAAAACAGAAUGUGAUUUUUGCCACUUCUCUUUCCUCCUAUAGCCCCAUCACCACAACUCUCCAGAGCAGGGAUGAGGGAGAAAUUUCAGUUCACAUUUAAAAGUAAAUCAACUUGAUUCACACUUUCUGCAACAAUACACAAACUGAAACAUAGCCACCUUUUGAAAUUCACAUUUCUUUAAAUUGUAGUUCUUCAGCUAAGCAUUGUGUACACAAUGUUUAUAUUAAGGUAAAAUGUGUAUACACAUGCAUAUUUUGGAGAAAACAUACAAAAAUGCAUUCUGUUAGGGAAAAUUGCUUUGCAGAAACAUGUAUGAAUGCGAACUGAUGUGGAAAUUAACUACAAUUGGAAAAACGAAAAGCUGAAAUUCACCUAUUCCUGAUUAAGACCACCAAAAAGUCACAAAAUCAUGGUAGCCUUUUGAGUUCUCCAGAACUCUUCAUCAGCCAAGAUAUUACAGAAAACAGGGAGUGGGGGGAAAGCAGGAAAAUCUAACUGAAAGAAAUGAAACUGACAGAUUGACCCAUCCUUACUCCAAAGCAGUUAUUUUAGGGGACUACAAAAUGGGGUACAGGAAGAGGAAAGAAUUACAAAAAACACGCCCUCCUUGUUCCUCCAGCCAGAUUUCUUCCCUGGACUAGAAAGCCUGCUGUAGACAGAAUGGCUCCUUUGCUUCAUGGGAGGCAAAGUCUGGAUCCUAGCCAUGUGUCCAGUUAGCCAGAGGUUAGAAGAGAACAUUUUCCAAAUGGAAAACAGAUGAGAGGCCAGUGGUUUCUUCUCAACUUUUAUUUGCACUGUAGAACCAAUGGGAAUUUAUAUACCUGUGAUUAUAUGUGGCCAUUUAUUCUUUUCUGCACAUUUUUGUGGAAGCCUUCAUUCAGUGACCUCUAUUUAUAUGGAGAGGAAAUGCAAUUGACUUAAUGGAGUCACUCUAAAGAUAAAUUAGACCCCCAUGUAUCUCUGUUUGGGACUGAAGUCUACUUGGCAAGUACUAUGCACAUGGAAAAUUAAAUUCCAAAUGGGAGAUGUAUGACUCAUAUCAAUUUAAAACCCAGGCGAAAGUGGUAAUUGCAUGAAUGAUAACAUUCUGCAAUUACAAGUAAUUACUCAUAGGUAAUUAUAGAUGUAACAAAGUUUGAAUGUCUUUAGAAAACAGAACAGUCUAAAUUUUGCAUUGGCUUCCCUUGUUCAGACAAGAGAAGUGUGGAAAGAGUGCUGAGGGGAGGAUAGAUUGCAAAGCGGCUAAAUUCUUUGUAUCAGUUUUCACUGUGGAAGAUACUGAAGCAAUAACCACAUAUGAGCAAUAGUUUUACAUGAAAGCACUUGAGCAGCUAUGUCAAGUGGAGAGGAAUACUGAUGUUUUAGAACUAAUUGGCAAAAUACAAAUUAGCAAAUAAUUCAGGUUGGAUAGCAUUCACUUGAGAGUUCCUAAAGAACUCAGAUGUGAAAUUGCUGAUCUUUUAACAAAUAUAUGCAAUUUGGCAUUAAAAACCAGCAUCCUUACCAGAGGAACGGAGAGCAACCAAUCUAACAUCAAUUUUUAAAACAGGGAUCCAGAGGGGAUCCAGGAAAUUAGUGACUUCUUUGCCUACACUUUAUCAGCCUAACUUCUGUCCCAAAAGUUUUACUUUCUAAAUUGGUAGAAAGCCAAUUAUUAACAGCUCGCUUAUUAAACAUGUAAGCCAAAAUCCCAUACACAUAUCCAAAUGCUUUCAUGAUUGCUUGGGAAGCUUUCCCCUACUCCAGUUAAGGCAUACAUUCUGCCAUUUGGAAGUUACGUUGUUCCUCCUUUAAUUGUCACAGCAUCAAUCGCCACAGCAAGUAAUGCAGAAGAAGACACUCCCCACACCUACCCUGACAUUUUGGGCCAUAUUUCCUUGUGAUUUGAUGCAAUCCAUCACAGUGUGAUUCAUGACAGCCUUCCUGCAUUACUUGCCAACACAUUUCAUCAUUAUUCCUUUCAUCUUUCUGGCCUUUGGCAAAAGUUCUGACAAGGUCAAGGGGAAAGGCUUGUCAAUUUCAUGGAUGACAACUUCCUGCUCUGAAAAGGAAGAGAAGCCUUGUGUAUUUCACCCAAUCAGAGUUGAUUGAUUCUGCCUUUCUGCCUGCUUCUCUCUUGACUCUGAAGUUCAGUGAAACUGCAGUGAUGGCUAGCAAAUUUUGGAGUUUUGGGAGGGGGAGCACUGUAGAAAUAGCAUUUGUGUUUUCUGUAUUAUUUCUGCAUCAAGCAAGCACAGCUUUAGCACACCUGUGUAUUUUCUUUGUACCUGUACAUACUUUUGGACACAUUGUUCUUCCCCACAGCCAGUUUGUGAGAGCCUUCUGGCAAUACAAUCUUGGAAUGUCAGAGGGGUAGCACCAUCUUUGAGGCCAGAGGGGCUGUGACCCACCAGAGUGCCUUCUUAACCAUGUCAUAGUGGCUUUGGAACAGCCCUCCAGGUUAGGCUGGCACAUCCAUCGUUUGGCACCAGCUGAAGAUCUACCUUUUCUGCCAGACAUUUGACAUUGUAGGGCCAUCCCAUAUAUGAGCUACAUUGGCAGCUUUAGCUGUUGAUUGUGUUUGUCUUGUCUUAUUGGGUUUUAAAUUGUUGAUACCCAUACUGAGAUUUUUUUAUGAUGAAAGGUCAGUUAGAAAUUUUAAGAAUAAAUAAAAUAAAAUCCUGUACCACCUUCAGGGAUCAUCACUACCAAAAUUACUAGCUUUUUCAAAAAAUAAAAAUAAAUGUUCUUUGUAAGGUGAAACUGGAAUUAAUAAACUUCUUAGAUCAAAAAUUUCCUUCCUUCCUUCCUUCUUUUAAGUGUGACCACGUAAUUUGAUUUUAAUUAUAGUGUUAAUUUUGUAACUAUGCUCUACUUUAAGAAUCGUUUUGACUGACAGGCAGACUAUAAAUUACUAAUAAAAUAAAAUAGCUGCGUUAGCAUUGUUUUGGACUUUUCAGGCAGGGAAGUGCAUUAAUGUAUGCACAGUGCAUUUCUCUCACUACUUAAUAAGGAAGCCAGGUAUUCCCUAGCCCUCUGGGGAUCAUAUCUACUGAAUCAGUAGUUCAAAAUAUCAUCUGGGAUUUUACUUGUAAAGAAAUGCAGUUCUCUAAAUGUCUUUCUUCAAUUAUCCCAUAUAUAACUUAAAAAUAAUAAACAGGUAAAUUCAGAAGUCCUCCUGGGCUCACAGUAAGUGCUGAGUGAAAGAACAUCCCAAAUGAUUUUUUCGGUGGCAAAAUGUUUUUGGAGUGGUGUAAAUUUCAGGUGCAUGAGAAGAAAUUCACAUCAGAACUACAUCAGAAGAAAUUUGUUUAGGACUGCCCAGCUAGCCACUCCUUACAGUUGAGACAAUUAAGAAUAGUAAAAAGAAGCAAAUUAUUCUACUAAUUCAGAGCAGCAGAGCCACAAUCAGUUAAACUAAUAAUAUUGUGUGUAAUUGUAAGUUCAUUGAGCUUACAAGCCAACAAACCCAUUCCUCUAGGACUGAAUACAGUCAGCAAAGCAUAGUGGUAUGAAAGCAUGCGUUUCCUAAAAGUGAUCUUCAGGUUUUACAAAGUGCUCUUUGGGCUUUUCUGCUUCCUGCCAAUUCUCUGUUUCCUGUGCUCACACUGUAAAUAAUAAAGCUGCAGUUGAAGGGAUAGAGACCAUUCUAUUUAAAGAGGCACCAGGGGAAUCUCUCACUGGCAUCACUCAUGCAGUCAUAAAGACCCUGCUCAUUGCUCUUGAUCCCUUGUGGAGACAUCUAUCCAUAUAAUUCCAAUGCAAAUACAGAUGAAAGCAUGUCCAGUACGUUUUAUGUGCUGACUAAAGCUUUAAAAAAACUUUAAAGUUCAUCCAGCUCACUGGUUUUUCCUAAUGCACAGUUUACAGAUAUUUAGCUAUCAUUGACUGCGACUCAUUGUAGCUAUUCUGGGUAGUUUGCUUAUUUAUAAGCUUUGUAACCUGGUCUUCAUUAAAAAUAACGUCAGGAUGGGGUAACAUUAAAAAAAAGCCAUAAGUUAUAGUCAGCAAAUGAAACUUUUAAGGGUGGAAUUCAACAUUGUGCUAUGAAUUGGGCAUUUCAGCUUGACAGUUAGAACAACCCCCCUUCUCCUCUCCUCAUGUGCUGUUUUUUUUUGGGGGGGGGUUCCCGAACCUCCCUGAGCCAAUUUCAGGGUAUGCAGGGAGAGGAGAUGAAAAGAAAGCUCCAUUUUUCAAAUCAUUGCACAGGUUGUUAGGUACAGGUUGUUAGGUACAGGUUAGGACUUGCGCCCUAAGAGUUGGUGUAUUUGCAGCUAGUUCUUGCAAUGCAGCCAAUCUCUUCUUGCGAGAAGUUGGCAGAUGUAUUGCCUAAGCCUAGCCAAACCAUUCAUUUUGCUAUACUAUUGACACAACUCAAUGUGACAUGCACAGGAUGUGUUGGGCAAAGUAAGCAGGAAAAAACAUGCACAUAACCACGUACUUAUCAUGAUGAAUUCCAACAAUCGAUAAUGUUGGAUUUCUUAGCAUUAAGAAAGUGAUUAAUAGCAAUGGAUAAGAGCUUUGCUGUUGCCAAUGUCUUAGAAUAUUUGUUACUAAUAAACUCAGCACGGUCAUUUCCUAAAUCCUGGGUCAUUUUUCUGUGUUCAUGAGGUGUUCAGUACUCCUCUGUUUUUUAAUUUUAUUUUUGCAGUUGACACCAAGCUUGGCUCAAGAGUUAAUCCCACCCUGAGACAGCCAGAUGGGGUCAGGGAGGCUCCUCUGCUUUCAUUGUGACAGAAAGUAACAAGCACAUAAAACAAGGUUACUUAUACCUGGCACAAGUAAACAAUAGCAAUAUGCAUGUGGAAAGAAAAUCAAAUUGAAUCCUGCUGCUCUAGGUGUCUUCACCAAAGCAGAGUGGGUAGGCGAGAUAUAGGUAAAGGUAAAGGUACCCCUGCCCGUACGGGCCAGUCUUGACAGACUCUAGGGUUGUGCGCUCAUCUCACUCUAGAGGCCGGGAGCCAGCGCUGUCCACAGACACUUCCGGGUCACGUGGCCAGCGUGACAAGCUGCAUCUGGCGAGCCAGCGCAGCACACGGAAACGCCGUUUACCUUCCUGCUAGAAAGCGGUCCCUAUUUAUCUACUUGCACCCGGGGGUGCUUUCAAACUGCUAGGUUGGCAGGCGCUGGGACCGAACGACGGGAGCGCACCCUGUUGCGGGGAUUCGAACCGCCGACCAUGCGAUCGGCAAGUCCUAGGCGCUGAGGUUUUACCCACAGCGCCACCCGCAUCCCACUAGGCGAGAUAUAUCUGGCCUUAAAUAAAUUCAGAGUCACAAGCCCUGGUACUGACUGGGCGACUUGUUUUGCAGGGCUGGGAGCCACCAGUAUACAGAAAACCCACCACUUGCCUCAGUCACCUCGGAUGGGUGACUCCACUCUGGUUCCAAGGAUCACACUAGUCAGUACUCUUUGCCUCCACACUUAACUGUAUGAGAAGAAAGCCACUAGGGCAGCCCAGAGCAGAGGUAGCCAAUGUGAUGCUCUCCAGAUGUUGUUUGACUACAACUCCCCUGACCCCUGACUAUUGAUCAUGCUGACUGGGGCUGAUGGAAAUCACAUCUCAAAACAUCUGGAGGGCACCACCUAUUGCAGCCACUGGUCCAGAGCAUUGGGGCCAAUUAGGACAUCAAAGUGCUAAAGUUCAUGCAUUUCCAUGCUGCUCUCAAGAAGAGCACAAAAGAGUUGUGCCCUUCUCAUUAUUUCUUUCACAAUAUUUAUAUAGCACGUGGUUGUAAUAAACCCUCAAUGCGGUUUACAAAAAGAGAGAGCCCUUCUUUAGGUGAGCCUCCCUUUACCCCUCCAAUACAUUAGGAUACCCUUCAUUGUUCUUUCGUGCCUUUCCCCUCCCAUUCAUCCUGCACAGAAACUCCAGUUUUUCCUGCUUAGGAUACAGUGCCACUUCAACCAUCUGUCAGUGCAGGGUAGGCUAAUAACAACAACAACAACAACAACAACAACAACAACAAUAAGAUCUCCCCACCUUUUCAACCAAUUGGGGAGCAUAGCAAAACCUUUUUUUUAAAAAAUGGCCUAUAUGUGUCAGCUGCCUCAUUCAACCCUAUUAGAAGGCCAGAUGUUAUGGCACCAAAGCAGAAGCCCUGGAAGAAGAGUAGCUCUUUAAAAUAGCACCCACACCAGCAUCCCAUUGGCGGGGGCAGAUUCCUCCAGCAGAUACCCUAGCCUCUAUCCAAAGGAUGAGGGAAAAGCUGCUUCUCUCUCUUUCAUCCUUCUCCUCACAGGGUAAGCUACGGAGUGCAGCACUUGCGUACAUUUUGUUUCUCUGACAUGGAAAAACACUAAUAUUUACUGGACAGAAUCUUUCCGCCUUUAGUUUGGAUACUGGCCACGUUGCAGGCACUGUUUCUACUUGUGCUAGAUUUAUUCUCAAGAAAACAGCUUCCAAAUAUUAAUUGGCAGGAUCUUGUACUGUAGAGCAGUCUAGAUUUGCUUCUGACAUGUUGUGCAUGAUCUCUUUCAAUAAAUAAACACCAGAAAGAGCUUAUGCAAUUGACACAAAAUCUUGUGGCAGUCUCCCAUUUAGAACUUCACUGUAGAUUAUUUUUGCACUGUAAUUAUGAUCCGCUUUCUUCACAAUCCAGGCAUAUAUUUCAUAACCCUUUUCCCACCUCAACUGUCAGAAAGGUUUUUCAUUUUUUUGAAAUAAAAAAGCCCAUUAUCUGCCUCCAUUCCUCAAACUCUUUUCCUGCAAAAGUUAGUACAGGCACUGGGAUCUGCUCUAUACCUUCCACUGUGAAGACAGAUGCAAAUAAUUCAUUCAGCUUCUCUGCAAUCUCCUUGUCCCUAUUUAGCACACUUUUUACUCCUUUGUAAUCCAAGGGUCGUACACCCUCACUAGAAUGUGUCCUGCUACAAAUGUAUUUAAAUAACUUUCUGUUGUUGGCAGUGCUAUUUUUAUAGAAAAAGAGGUGCUGGAACUCACCAUGAACGUCUCCCUUGUUCUGUUAGAAUGGCAUUGGUAUCCACCUGAGAGGUGCCGGAACUGAGUUCCACCGAGUUCCAGCUGAAAAAGAAGCACUGGUUGUUGGUCUUAAUGUUUUUAGCAUUGCUUACUGUCUGCUUGCACUUUUGUGUGUUCUCUCCAUUUGCAUGAAGGAAGCAUUCUUGCCUCUAAUACCAUGUUUUACUCUGCUUGUUAAGCACAUCAGCAUCCUUUCAACUCUUGUGGUACCUUUCCUGAUCUGUGCUAUACACUCCAAUCAAACUUCUAAUAUUGUGAUUUUAAACAACUCCCUGGCAGUUUUGACCAUUUUGACUUUGCCUUUCAACUUCCUGUUUGCCAUUCCUGUCAUUUUAAAGUCAAAUGUGACCAUGCUGGAUUUUCUUGGCUAUUGGUUGUUUACAUGUAUGUUUAGUUCAAUAGUGCUAUGGUCACUGCUCCCAGUUGGCUUAACAACACUUAUAUCUCACAGUAGGUGCUUGAUUCAGGGUCGCUUCCCCUCUGCUUUGUCCUAUGAUCAACUGUUCCAAGGCGCAGCCAUUUAGGGUAUCUAGAAAUUUUACAUCUUUGUCAUGACUGGAACACAUAUGUAGCCAGUCUAUGUGAGGAUAGUUGAAGUCACCCAUGACUACAAACAGCGCUUUUUUUUCUAAAAAAAUGUUUAGGGGUACUCUUAUUUUCCUACUCAUAUUGAAAUACUGCCCCUCAAUGAGGCCAAACUUAGAUUCACAAAAUGUUUAGGGGUAUGCAUACCCCUGAGUCCCCCCAGAAAAAAAGCACUGACUACAACAUUUCCUCUUUUGGAUGCUACUUUUGGACCUUGAUUUCAUUCCUCAGCUCAAGAUCUCCCUGAGCAUUUUGAUCAAAGGGAUGAGAACACAUCCCCAGAACUAAACUAUUACUGGGGCCCGGUAUCACCACCCACAACAUAUCUACCCCUUGGGGAUUUCUAGUUGACUGCCCAAUGCCCUCUUUGAUGUACAGAGUGACACCACCUACAGUACAGCUUCCCUAUAAUGAAUAUACAGAGAUACCUAGCUGUUUCCCACUUGUUCUCUGUAUUCCACCAGACAUUCAGGUCCCAAGUUAGAGGUUUCCUACCCUUGCUUUCAGUGGACAGUCUAUAUCUCCAUCUCCCUCAGACACCUUGUUCUUACUAAUUCACCCACUUUAUGGUGAAGAGGCAAUCUUCUUAGCUGUUUUGCAAUGGUAUAAAGAUGUUUCCUUGGUCCUUUCUUGCCCCUUAACAAAAUAUGUCAGCAAUAUCUAUAGGUGUUUGUGCACAACUUUGGCACUACUGGUUUAAUGAAAUGCAUGAAUUCAAUAAUCCCCAAACCGCCCAGUAAUUGCAAGAAGAGAGAGUACAUGUGGAUAAUGAUUGUAGAAAGUAUUGAAUGGGGAGUUGGAAGGGUAAAUUAUGAAGGGCUCAAUAGGAUGCAGGUACAUCCAUACUUUAGAUCAAGAGAGCUCUUAAGACCCAUGUCUUACAAUCCUUCAGCACCACAUUUUAAGUGUUAGGUGGCAAAUUUUAAAAAAUAAUUAUUAUUAUUAUUAUUUAUACCCCGCCCAUCUGACUGGGCUUCCCCAGCCACUCCAGGUGGCUUCCAACAAAAUAUUAAAAUAACGUAAUGCAUCAAACAUUAAAAGCUCCCCUAAACAGAGAUUUCCUUGUUGAUGCACAAAAUUGACAAAGAAGUUGUAAGUUGACUACCCAGAUAUAUGAGCUACUUCUUGUGCUAGUUUUCCAAGUGCAUGUUCAGAAAUACAUGGGGUACAUGUAUUUUGUAAGUUGAGAAAUGUUUGGUUUAACUUUGCCCUGGAAACAAGGUGAUCAAAUGCAUACCAUUAAGUUAAAAUUACAGUUUCUGAUCUUCACAAUGGAUUUGUAGUAUGCAAAACUGGUAUUAAAAAGUAAUGUGUGUAUUGGCCUUAAGGCAGGGGCCAACAUCAGUAUCAAGGCAGUAUGUGUAUCUAGCAGAAAUUACGGCUUUUAAAAACAAAACAACAACCACAACUCUGCACCAAAGCCUACUUCUGACCAUUAUUCUGAAAAGUAGCCUGCCAUGUGAUUCUGAAGGAGGGUGUGCUGUGCCUUUCUCUGGAUCAUGGACAGAGGUUUUAAAACCUGUGGCUUUCAAUCUGGUAGAAAGACACAUCUCAAAGGUUAAAUCCAUAUGACUUAUCUUUGAAGUUAAGUGAUAACUUUCUAUACUGGACUUACACUGGUACCUCGGGUUAAGUACUUAAUUCAUUCCGGAGGUCAGUUCUUUAUCUGAAACUGUUCUUAACCUGAAGCACCACUUUAGCUAAUGGGACCUCCUGCUGCCGCUGCGCUGCCGCUGCACGAUUUCUGUUCUCAUCCUGAAGCAAAGUUCUUAACCAUUGAGCCAUUUGACUCAAGCAUUCACCCACAUUGUGAAGAGAAGUGUACCACUAUCCUAUUUCUCUGAUUGAGUGCAGAUUUGUAGUAUGAUUCUCUUCUCUCCAUGUGGUUGCAUCCUUGAGAUGAAUGGUGCCACAUGUGGCUUACCGGUACAUUGCCCAUAUCACCCCCAGAGAAAGCUAAUUUGGCUUCUGCUUUACUCAGCCAGGGCCUACUAUAGUCUACAUUUAUUCCCCUGCAGAACACACAGUGUUUACAAGUUUUAACUGAUGGAAUGUAUUAAAAUUAAAGUUGUUUUCCCUUCUGUUUUUGAUAGAUGGAAAACCUGUUUGGCCUAAUAAAUUGUACGUCUUGUGAUUAUACAACACCCCAAGCUCUCAAUAUGGGACUUGUGGUGCAUUUGAAUAAUAAAUGAAUCCAUAUGCUAUUUCCCUUGACAUUCUUGUCUUGCUUUUUUUCUGUUGCAGGUAGCUACAUGCUAAAUUGAUCCUCCUUACUUCCUUUUCUUGCAAAUUCUCUCAUUAAAUUAAACAGUCUGAAAGGAGCACCCAUUAAACAUUCAUUCCUUAUUAACUAAGUGGUCUAAAAUGGAGGCCUCUGAAUGCUUCCAUAAUUAAUUGUGUAAAGCUGGAAACCAAGUUAACAGGGAGCAAAACAGUAUUAUUUGGAAACAUUCUACAAUUAACUGGAAAGCUAUUUACUGAGGACUGCAGAAGCGGAAAUAUUUUUCCUAUUCUGCAAAGGCCAUUAAAAGAAAGCCCCAGAGGUGGAAAAAGUAUUCCAGGUCCCCCCUUGCCCCUUAAAAAAGCAAACAAAGCCUAAACUUUGGAUGUGGCCAUUUUGGUUAGCUCAUUUUUGGAAGCAAUAUCGUAAGGGGACUUUAAAUAAAGUAUCUAUUGUAGGCUUGGCUUAGGCGACUGAAGAUGGGGUUAAAUAUCUAUUAUAUUUAAUUAAUAUAAUAAUAAUUAUAAUAUAAUUAUUAAUAUAAUAUAAUAUAAUAUAAUAUAAUAUGUUGCAAUUUCUUCUGCACUCAUUCUUCACCUCAUGGUUUUAAUUCAGGAAUUUUGCAGUGGUAUAACACCGCCCUGCCUCCAGUUUGGACUUAAUGACUGAUUUCACAGUAUGGGAAAACCAUCAGGGUUCACAUCCACACAACAAUGGAGCAAUACAUGAAAUGUGUGCUUAAAAAUAAAUAAAUCAUUUGUACAAUUUCUUACACUUGGCUGUAAAAAUUCCUAAACUUAAAUUAAGGAAAUUAAGGAAAAUCUGUAGUAGAUACAUAAAUUGAAUAUCGUAUAUUGUUGGGGUGGGUGACAUAGCUGUCAACUUUUCCCUUUUCUUGCGAGGAAUCCUGUUUGGGAUAAGGGAAUUUCCCUUAAAAAAUGGGAAACGUUGACAGCUAUGGUGGGUGAAGGCAUUAAGGAAAAAAACAAUUCAUGGCAUUGAGAGAAAGAAAAAAGCACCCUGGAGGCUACAAUCCUAUACACCAGAGCUUUCCAAACUGUGUGUCAUGACAUGUUGGUGUGUUGGCUGCAGUGGGGUUGGAAAGGGUUAGUUUAACCUCCGGUUUUGUAGUAAAACUGAAUUACUGUGUCAUGAAAUUAUGCAAAACUGAAUUACUGUGUUGCAAAUUAUGCAUGUCCAAAAACUGUGUCACUAACUUGAAAAGUUUGGAAAGCUCUGCUAUGUACAUUACAGUCAUAGCUCUGAAGCAAAGUCUUAUUGAACUCAGUGGGCCUUAUGUCUGAGUUACAGAACUUACAGAAUUGCAAUGUAACAAUUCAGAAUUAUUCAGCAGCAGCCAGAGCACUGUUCUGGGCCACCACCAUCACCCUCCACCAACGGGGAAAUUACAUCCCCACACUUUUCUAUUGACACUACCAUAAAUAACAGGGGCCUUGAGAGAUAUGUAUGCCGUAACUGAUAGGGAGCAGCACGAUUGAAGUGUGACAGGAACACAGCUUGGAUGGAAGGAUUUUCUCUAAAGUCAUUAUACUUACAGAGUAAUGUAUCUAAAAUUUGCCAUCCUAUGAGAAUGCAGGAUGGUCACUGUUUAUAGAAGCUGGGCUCUCUUCUCUGGGCACUGCAGAUAGUUUUUCCUCAUGCAGCAAGUUCUGUAAUGCUGUGUGUCAAAUACGCUUAGCAAAGUGCAGCCCAUCUGCUGAGCACAUGGCUAGAAAUGAGCCAGCUUGCUCUGAAUGGAACCACCAGCAUAUAGACAUGUCUGUAAAAACUCUGACCUCCAAGACACAGACUAUAUGCCAAUAUUGGCAUGAGAAAUAGCCAUUUUAUAAUUGAUUGAUUAAUGUGAAAAACAUUUACCGGUAGCUUAAUUUUGAGCUAAAAAAGCUCCCAGACACAGCUACAGUCUACUCAGGGAGAUUUCUCAACUUCUGAGGUUGUUUGAGAGGAAUUUGUUUGAUUUAGGUAUUUUCUUUAAUGUGCAUUGACUUGAAGGGUAGGAGCCAAGAAGGCUGGGCUGACAUCCAUUUAUUUUGACCAAUUUUGAUGAAAUUUUGGGAAACAGAAAAUAUUAUUAACAUUUUUUUAAAAAAUGCUACUUUUAGGAGCAGAAGAAGUGGUCUUGUAUCAAGUCAGAUCAUUGGUCCACCAAGUUCAGUAUUGUCUAUAUCAACUGGCAGUGACUUUCCCCGGUUUCAGGCAGGGAAUAUUCCCAGCAGUAACUGGAAAAAGCGACAAGUGAGGUGCUGCUGGGUUCUGUCCAGGACCCAUUGUUGUUCAACGACUUUAUAAAUGAUGUGGAUGAAGGAAUUGAGGGGAUGUUCAUAAAAAUUGCAGAUGACAAUAACUGGAAAGAGUAGCUAUUGCAGAACCGGAAUUCAAGAUGGCCUUAACAGAUUGGAGAACUGGGCCAGAACAAAAUGAAUUUCAGCAGGGACAAAUGUCAGGUUCUACACUUAGCUGCUCAAAUAUAUGAUGGGGGACACUGUUUGAUGUGCGAUGGCUCUAUUCAGUGAUGAAGCCAUCAAGCAAUAGAACAUGCAUCUGUGAACCAACCCUGUGUGCCACCUGAUCAUUAUCACACUAUUCAAUAAAAUAAAAAAGAAGUUGCCAAAUGAACUGAAUGCAUUUUUCAGUUUUAGUUAGACAUUUCCAAUGCAUUAUUUUUUUCUGUGGGUAAGCCUAAUUUAACUCAAUAGGACUCUCAUGUAAGCACACUGUCAAAGUAGUAUUCACAACCUCAAGGCAAACUUGUAUGCAUUUCAACUCUAAUUUGGAAAAAUGACGUUGGGCCAAGGUGGGGUUAGGUAGGUAUGAAGUCCACAGUAUAUGGAUUUGGAAGACAUAUAUAUUCAGCGUUAAUAAUGUUCAAAGGAAAUACAUGCAAAGUAGAUUUCAUGCCUCUUUCAGCUUGGCGCAUUUAGGCUCAGAGCAUAAAUUGACUGCUGGUGGUGAAAGCAUGUCGUUCUGGAUUUUUCUUCUGUGGUUAAGUACUUUUUUAUUGACAUUAGCUGCUUUUCAGCUGAUUCUGCAAACUGGGUAUAUAGUUCUGCAAAAGUCUCAAAUUGCAUACAUAUAUGUAGUUCUGGAAGCUGUUACUGAUAGUGGCAGGAUGCUGCUGAGGCGUCCAAAUACUGGUUUAAAAUGGCCAGAACUUUACUGAGAACUUUACCAUGGUAUUGUACCUGUUUGCUGUUCCAGGGUCAGGAGACAAAGGGGGAGUCAUGUUCUGCUCAUGAAAGUCCUUUAUACACAGUUGGUUAUCAUUCUUUACGUAGCCAGCAGAAUGCUCUGAAUUAAAAGUAAUACUUGGUCAAUUUGCUUUUUGAUUUUGAAGUGGCACAAACUGCAGGUGCUUUUCAGGUUCACUGUGGAACCAAGAUAUGCUAGGAGUAAAAAAAAAGUCUGUUGAAUUCUGUAAUGUCUCAUUACAGCCAGGUUAGGAUGACCAGCUUGACUGUAUGAAAUGAAACUUUGUUUUUCAUUGAAAGUUAAGUUGACAACGCUCAUAUGGCUACCUGAACAGUUAAACAGCCCCAACUAUCUUGUGUUAAAAUGCCAAAGAACUGUGUUGAUAAUUACUAUUCACAAGAAUUGUGGUUUAGCUGACAUUUAUUGUUUCAGUGAAUAACCAUAUUUUGACAGACAAUGGAUUUUUUCUUCCCACGAACUUCCAUAGAUUCUUCGUUAAGGUUGCUGAAUUAACAUAUUCUUGUUGUUUUGGUUUUAUUUUGCUUUAGGAAUGCUAAUAAUUACAUUCCACUUGCAUUUAAUUGGGCAUUUGGGUUUUAAAGCUAGAGAUGGUUUCAAUUUGGGGUGGGGAAGUGUUUGCUGUGGCUUUGACUUAAGGUUUUUCAUUCUGCUUUUUGAAUACUAGUAGGAGGGCAAGGAAGACAGCUUGAACACUUAGAAAAUGAGCUUCUGUGGUGUAAUUUAUCUUGGUCACUGAAACAGAGAGCUUUUGCAAACCUACCUAAGCAGUCUUCAGUUGUUUUGAGUGGUAUUUUAACCACCUAGUUUGCUGAAUCAUGUUUGUUGAAAUGCUCACGUUAGUAAGUCUGGUUUGUAGCCAGGAUGAAGAAGAGCUAUAACAAUAUGGCACUGGUAAGCCAGCCUUGAUGUUGACUGACAACUUUGCACCAUCAAACACCAAUAUGUUAAGGGAGCUGGUGUACAUUUGUGUGUUGCUGGCAAACCUACAAAUCUGAAGCAACAGCCAGUGUUAAUGUAAGUGAAAACUCUGCAGCCAUUGGGGUAAAUAAACCCACAAGUUUGGUUGAAUCACACUUUCCUUGGGUGUCAAGUGUUUGCAUAGGUUUAUAUUGCUAGAGUACUAGCAAGAUGAGAUGCUUGCAGGAGGCACAUGAUUACAAAUCCACCCAUGUUAGCAAAUAAAAUAGCAAUACAGUAAUGCUUACAUUUGUGUGGUGCUUUUGUAGUGUUCUUUGCACUUAUACAGGGAGUAACUGGAAAAAAAUAUGUCCUUGGAGGACUUUUAGUUUAGAAAAAGCUGCAUAGUGGGGUGGUGGUGGUAGAUGUGCAUAAAUUUAUGCAUGCUGGGAACUUGGUAUAAUCUAUUAAAUAUGAAUUAUUAUUAUAUGAAUUAUUAUAUUAUAUGAAUUAUUAUAUGAAUUAUUCAGAACAGAAGAAAGGAAGUACCUUUCCACAGAGAUAAUGCCCAGGAGCAGCCAAUAUGGUAGGGCAGUACCAUGGCACCACCUUCCCAGCAGUGGCAUUGCGCCACUUAUCAACACUGUGCAGGGACAGAGAAGAAUGGUGGUGUGGUCAGGAAUGGAUGGGGGACACUGGUAGAGGCAAUCCAGUGCUCUUGCCUGUGUGUCCACAUUACUACCACAACCUCAGCAUCACAUAGCCCUUAUUCUGCACCAUCACGAUAAGCAGUGGUGGCACUGCUGUUAUGACACCCUUGGUGUGUGUCACUGUUCCACUACAUUGUCUAUUCCUGGUGAUGCCACUAUUAGGCUGCAUUCCUAACUCAGUUUACCUGGGAGCAAGCCCCAUUGAAUUCAAUAGGAUGUAUGAUUAGGCUUGCACAAAUUCAUGGAGGAUAAGACCACCAGUGGCAAUGAAUUAUGAUUACAAUAAGUUACAUCCAGACUCAGAGACAGCAUUUUGUAGGGGGGGAGGGGCAGGGGGGCAGAAAACAGGAGAAAAUGAUUUCACUCUUCCUUUUCUUGUGGGGCACCUGAAGGCAUCUGGCUGUAGGAAACAUGGUACAGUGGUACCUCGGGUUACAUACGCUUCAGGUUACAGACGCUUCAGGUUACAGACUCCGCUAACCCAGAAAUAGUACCUCGGGUUAAGAAAUUUGCUUCAGGAUGAGAACAGAAAUUGUGCUUUGGUGGCAUGGCGGCAGCGGGAGGCCCCAUUAGCUAAAGUGGUGCUUCAGGUUAAGAACAGUUUCAGGUUAAGAAUGGACCUCCGGAACAAAUUAAGUACUUAACCCGAGGUACCACUGUACUGGAUCCAGGAGGGCUCUUCUAAUUCAUACAUUGGUGUGAUAAACCUUAUUGACUUGCAAGGUAGUAAUUCCAUAUUUCAUCCAAUAUUACAGAUGAAGAGUUAAUUAUGUCAGUGUUAUUUCCUGUGUCAUGUGAGGUUCCUCCAAGUUCCUACAUAGAUCUUUUAAAACUGAUAUCCAAUUCCAUUGCAAUGCUUUUGGCAGUCCAAGUUAAAGAGAAAAUAUUAAUAUUCUCAUAUUCAAGUGUGGUGCAGUUCAUCUUUCUAUUUUUGCAACAUUUUAGACCCUGUUGACCAUUAUUACUACCUUUUUUUUUGCUAGUUUUCCAAGCACAUUUCUCUUUUUCAUAUCUUCUCAUUCAUCUCUUUCCUACUGAACUGACAAUGAGCUCAGUUGAUUGUCUACAGUCGCUGGCUGCCAGUUCAUAGCAUCUUAACUUGAAUGUCCUGAAAUGUAAAUCCACUUUCUUCCAACAGACCCAAGGGAAUUACAAGCCACUUCCUGAAUUGUACCUUUCUGUUGUGUCUCAGUGCUCUUCAGCUUGCCUUGUUAUAUAUGCCUAUAAUGUCUAAUCCAAUUAAAAUUAUAUUUCUGCCAAAAGAAAACUUCAGUUAGCACUGGGGGUUGCUGCAGGUGACAAAUCCUGCAGGUUUCUUUUUCACAUUCUGUCUACUGUUUUGUCUGUCAACAAGCUGCAGUCUUUUUUUCUGGAGUCACCGAGAUACACAUCCAGUACAAUGUAUAUUGUAUUCAGAAGUUAGUGACACUGAGUUUUCUGGGACUGUAGAUUUGGCUUUCCCUAUUUUCCAGUCUUAAAUUCAGAACUCUUUAUUUCUUCAGCAUUUUUUUAAAGCUCCUCAUGAAAAUUCAUCCGCAUCUUAGUGCAAAUUUCUCCCAGUAAACACAGUUUUUAAUGCAGUUUUAACUAAUAGAAGCAUUUUUGCAGUUUCCCCCUAAUAUUUUGCACUUUUGUGUUCCCCUCCCACAUGAAUAUAUUCGUUUUAAUACAUAUUUCCCCCUAACAUGUGAAUUUUUGCACGCUUUGGCUGAUUAGAGAACUGUAGCACAAAAUGUGAAGAUGUGUGAAUUUCAAAGGAUAGCUAUGUUUUGGUUUGUGUAUUGGUUUGGAAAGUGUGAAUUAGGUAAAUUUCCAUUAAAAUGCAAACAAAAUCAAAUUUCUGCCCCAUCCUUAACUGGAACUCACUCCCAAAUCAGUUGUUUAUUGAUUGAUGACAUCAACAGCAAUCCAAGGGCAUGUUUGUAAUGUUUUGCCAUAUGGUCAUCUUUCUGUUUUUCUCUGUAGCGAGACAAGAUGCAUUUGUGUAGAAGGCUGCAUCUUUCCAAUCUUACAUGACAAGAUAGACCAGACAAAAUUCCCCUUUCUAUACAAGUAUGAAAAGUAAACUAGUUCUGUCUUCCUUUGUUUUGGGUCUGUGUGCCUACCCCACUCCUUCAAACAAAAUCGAAAGAAAUGUAAAUGCCAUUGAAUCUACUGCUUUGACUCACCUAAAUUUGGGACACUGCCUAUUUUUGAGUCCCCAAUCCACCAAUUGAAAACCAGUGAAGAAAACAGGUCCAUGGAAGGACAAACAAUUAUAUUUACUUGUCCAGUAGUGAGAUUUUAUAAUACUUCCCCCACCUGCCACCCAAGCUUUUCCCAUCAGAUUGACUUUCAUUUCCCAGCAACAUAAACGGAAAAUUUGGAACAUAAGGUUGAGGUGGUGUGUUUGUGUCUGGAUCCCAAAUAUACCGCUUAUGUUUUCUAUAUAUAUUGCAAGGGAAUACUCUCUUCCCAUGCUAACUAUAAAUAUCUGUCAUUUCCCCCCUCCCUGUUUGUACGACACCGAACAUAUAUCAGAAGGUGUUGACCUGAAAUAAAAAAUACAACCCAUCAGCAAAUAUUGAAAAAAUUGUAUUGUAAAGUCAAAGUGGUUGUGGAAAACUCCCAGAUAAACUGUUUUAUUACAGUGGCAGACCAAGGGAACAUUUCUCCAGAACUGACUGUAAAUAUCUGUUUCACUAAAAGCAGAAGAGAAAGAAAGAAACCUGGUUGUAUGACCAGCAUCCAUUAGCAGGUUUCACAUUGGUUUUUAUUUUUAGGACCACUGGUGAAGACCAUUUGAAUUAGAAUUAGCUAGAGUUGAGCAAUAUUUCCAGCUUCAGGACAUUUACUCCUGUUCCAUCUAGCUUGUGGGGUUCCUAACAGCUCUGCAGCUCUGCAAAAGGUUUUCUGGAUUUUGUUUGUAUGCGUUUCUUAGGAAGAAAAGGGGAUUCCCCCUCCAUUAGUUAAAUUGAAUAAUUCAACUAACAAGUUAUACUCCCUUAACAAAACAUUGUAGCGUAUCCUGGAUGUGACUGUGUCACAUCACAACAUAAGAAGAAGUCUGUUGCAUCAGGCCAUGCAUAGGCCCAUCUGGCUUGACAUUCUGUUCACACAGUGACCAGCUAGGUGCCUUUAGGAAAUCCACAAGCAGGACCUGAACGCAAUAGCACUCUUCACAUUUGUGAUUUCUAGCUGCUGGAAAUCCCAUCAAUCAGUCAGUCAUGUUAUUUGUAUGCUGCCUUUCCAAAUUUAAAACCAUUUGCUGGAAUAGUUACUGGAAAAUUGGGGCAGCAUAAUGAGUUGGGUUGGUACUAUGAUGGGCCUCUACUUGCAGCCCUCAACAAAAGAUCUAAAAUAAAUUAACCCUAGUUUUAAUUAAUAUGUUUGAUCCCAAGUUAUCUAACACACUUCUCACUUCUGUUGAUUCUCUUCUCCUGUUGCAGCCUCCCAUGUCCCAUUCCAUGACAUUCUGGAGAGCACCUUCAAGAGUUUGUUUUAUUCAGGCUUUGAAGGUGAUGGGGGCUGAAGCAUGAAGGUGGCAUUGGGAAAGUACCCUUGCGUAAGGCUAACUCCCCUGGAGAUUCUCUGGACAUAACCCAGUGUUUGUUUUUAAUUACCGGUAGGCAGCAUUUGUAUGUUCAUAUGAACUUGGAUAUAGGAGGUCUGUUUGUGCUGCACCCUCUGCCACUGUGGUUGCUGAUAAUGUUUAAAGGAGGGAUGGGAGACCUGUGGUCCUCCAGAUGUUGCUCAAUGACAACUUCUAUCAUUCCUGAGCAUUGUCCACAUUGAUGGGGCUGAUGGAAAGUGGAGUCUAACCACAGCUAGAGCACCACAAGUUCUCCAUGCCUGACUCCUCCCCAAUUAUCUACCCCACUCUUUAUACAAAAUCUUCCUUUUUUUGGGUCCUGUUGCCCUCUUAAUAGUCCUUAAUGCUGUCUUGAGCAAUUUUGUUCAGAAAGGUUGGAGAGAUGUCUUCUGUGCUAGUUGAGCCCUUCUCUAACUGGCAGUGGAAUGGUGCAUGUCUUAAAGGUCCAGAGGUAUUGCCUUUCUCAAGGGCCCAAUGUUUCUGUCAAAAAGGCAAACUUCAUCUUAGAUUUUUGUAGUUCAUCAAAGUUCCUCUGCUGCCUCAGUAGACACUCGAAACUGUCAUGGGCUGAGGGUUAUACAAACACACUGCCAGAGGUUUAACAGUGGUUAAGAAAGUUAAAUACUUGGGGGUUAACAUGACAGCAAAAAAUGGGAAUUUAUUUAAAGAUAACUAUGAAAAAUGCUGGGCUGAAGUGAAAAAAGAUUUAGAAAUUUGGUCAAAUUUGAAGCUUUCACUGCUGGGCCAUAUUGCUGCGGUAAAAAUGAAUGUAUUGCCUAGAAUGUUGUUUUUGUUUCAAACAUUGCAAAUUGUGGACAAAAUGGACUGUUUCAAGAGGUGGCAGAGAGAUAUUUCUAAAUUUGUCUGGCAGGGCAAGAAGCCUAGAAUAAAAUUUAAAAUAUUAACAGAUGCAAAGGAAAGAGGUGGAUUUGCCCUGCCAGACUUUAAACUUUACUAUGAAUCAGCAGCUUUUUGCUGGUUGAAAGAAUGGUUGCUUCUUGAAAACAUUGACAUUUUGGAUUUAGAAGGUUUUAACAAUGUAUUUGGAUGGCAUGCAUAUCUGUGGUAUGAUAAGGUCAAAGCACAUAAAGCAUUUAAAAAUCACAUCGUCAGGAAAGCAUUGUUUAAUGUCUGGAUAAGAUACAAGGACUUAUUGGAAAAUAAAACUCCAAGGUGGCUGUCACCGAUGGAAGCAAAAGCUCUGAAAAAGCUCAAUAUGGAGGCCAAAUGGCUGAAAUAUUGGGAAAUUUUGGAACAAGAUGGAGAUAGACUGAAAUUGCAGAGUUUUGAGAAAUUACAAAACAAAGUGCGAGACUGGCUUCAUUAUUAUCAGAUAAUGGAGGCAUAUAAUCUGGAUAAGAAAAUUGGUUUCCAGGUGGAAAAAUCAAAAUUAGAAACAGAACUAUUAGAACCCAAAACUAAGAUUUUGUCAAAGAUGUAUAACUUGCUGUUGAAAUGGAAUACUCAGGAUGAAACGGUGAAAUCUGCUAUGAUUAAAUGGGCACAAGAUGUUGGACAUAACAUAAUGAUGGCUGACUGGGAACAGUUAUGGACCACAGGUAUGAAGUUUAUGGCAUGCAAUGCCUUAAGAGAGAAUAUUAUGAAAAUGAUGUACAGGUGGUACAUGACCCCAGUCAAGCUUGCAAAAAUCUAUCAUUUGCCCGAUAAUAAAUGUUGGAAAUGUAAAGAAACUGAAGGUACAUUCUUUCACCUUUGGUGGACGUGCCCAAGGAUUAAGGCUUUCUGGGAAAUGAUAUAUAAUGAACUGAAAAAGGUAUUUAAAUAUACCUUCUUGAAGAAGCCAGAGGCCUUUCUCCUGGGCAUAGUCGGUCAAUUGGUGUCAAAGAAGGAUAGAACCUUUUUUAUGUAUGCCACAACAGCAGCAAGAAUACUCAUCGCGAAGUAUUGGAAGACACAAGAUUUACCCACUGUGGAAGAAUGGCAAAUGAAGCUGAUGGACUAUAUGGAACUGGCAGAAAUGACUGGCAGAAUCGGAGACCAGGGAGAAGAGUCGGUGGAAGAAGAUUGGAAGAAGUUCAAAGAUUAUCUACAGAAAUAUUGUAAAAUUAAUGAAUGUUAGAACGAUGUUGGAUAGAAAUUAAGUGGUUUCUAGCUGUAAUGCUUUAAGGGAAUAUGAAAAAGGGGUUGUUAAGAGGUAAAAAUCUAACGUUACUAUUUUAAGACCAAAGAUUAGGAUAAAUAAAGAGGGUAAGGAUUUGCUGAACCAACAAACUGAACUGGAAUACAAAAAGGGAGGUAUGAGGAGGUCCGGGAAACAAGCUAAGGAAAAAUAAGCAAUGGAAAAUUUGAGUGUUUUUAAUCAUUUUUAUUUUGUAUUUUUUUUUCUUUUUCAUUUUUCAUUGUAAUAUUUUAAAAAAAUCCUAAUAAAUAUCUUAUAAAAAAAACAAACAAACACACUGCCAGAGAAAAUCUCUGCCAUAUAGAACAAUGCACACAGGGCUGUAGUCCUUGGUCAGCAAACACUCGCAGCUGAGGUUGGCGAAUGGGAGCAAGUGACCUGCCUUGAAUCUAUCACCAGUAUCCCUUAUGUGUAGGGAAUGGAUGUGACAUUCUAUGAUCAUCUCCAAGACCAGCUUGUGCAGUUCUCUCAGGGCAGAAGGGGAAGGGGAGCGAACAACCUGAGGCCCAAGGAAAGGGUUAUGGGAAAGGCCAGCAUUACACCUUGAGAGGUUUUGGAAAGUGGCAUUGUUUUGCUCAGCAUCCCCCCACUUACCAUGUAAGGAACAUGUGGAAAUCAGGAAGGAGGAGAGGAGAAAUGACCAAAAAUUUCUACACAUUAUUUCUCUCUUUCUGCCCCACCUAUUUUUUUCCCAUUCAUUUUAUGGUGGAUAAGGAAUGCUGCCAUGCUACUUAAUAAUGUGUUGGUCCCGUUGUCACCCAUAUUAGUUAAACUUAGCUGUUGGAAGAAGUAUAGAAAGCUAUAAACAGAAUGACCUCUUUUGUCAUUUUUAUAUUUUGGCCAUUUGCGAUAGCCUGGAAAUGUAGGAGUGCCUUAAAUAUUGGUAGCAGCUCAUCUCUUACAUGAAAUUUGGUUCAUUGUUUUGGAUUCUUUUCCACUAUGAAUGUUCUGUUGCAAUGGGUUGAAGAGGCCAACAGUGUGCUGUAUGACACAAAGCAUGCAGAAGUUAGAUUUGUUCAGGUGCUGCAAUCCCCCACAUGAGUACCACCAUGUGUGUAGGAGCGCAGAUGUGUGUGCUAAGCUGUAUCUCAUCUCCAUCACCCUCUAUGAGUUGGAGAAUCAACCUCUGAAGCAGAGUGUCUCCUGUGCUGUCAGAAGGGCAUUCAGAACCAUGCUGAUAGUCUCCAUAAAUACCAGCGGCUCCUCCCACUUCAGACAAUCAACUUGUGGAGGACAAUGGGACCAGGGUGGAGUUUCAGGCAUUCACCCCUGCUCUUCCCCCUCAAUGCUACUCACCUGGGGAAUUAUAACACCUGAACAGAGCUAUAAAGAAGAAUCUAACUAUAGGUGAUUGGUGUAAAUAAGGGUUUGCUGAAAUUAAAAUAACCUCAAGUGCUUAGAUAAUGGCGUAGCUUCAUGAUGCCCUAGUGUUUAUGAAAAACAAUUACUAAAAAGCUUAAUGUGGAAAUGCAUAAUGUGAGAAAACCUUAGAAUUGUACCGAGUGCCAUGAAUAUUUUCUGAUCAAAGCAUCAAACACUUAGUGAGAUGUGUGGGUGACAGUAUAUAUUUUAGUAAGGAAGGAUCUAAACCAUUUCUCUUUCUCCCCCACCCCACUUAAUUCUUCUAGUGGGCCAGAGUGCUACAUUAUUUCCCUCCCCUCAAUAUUGGUUGAAGUUAAACAUCAUGAAGCCAAUUCUAAGCAACUGGCUCAAAUUUAUUUUGCUUUUCUUGCAAACAUAAUCUAGUGUAUGAUUACAUUUAUCUAUGUGUUUGUUUGUUUUUAAAACAGUAGUCAUCUGUUUGGGAGCCACAAGUAAAAGACAAAUUAAGAAAUUUUACUGAGCUGACACUUUAAAAAAGUACUGUGUUUCCCUGUAGUCACAUGUACAAGCAGUCCAUCAAAUCACAAGGUCAUUUGUUUGAUAGAUAAAGGCAGGAUAACUUAACAGACAGACAAAAUAAAUGGUCUCUGCAUGCUCUUUGUUGUGUUAUGGAGAGCUCAGAUAAGUGUCAUUUUUAUAAAUCUUUCUUACACCCACUCACACCACUUACCACUGAGACAUUCGCCAAGCAGUUUACAAAAUAACAUAUAAAAUAUUAUAUUUUAAUUUAUUUAUUCAAUUUCUAUCCUGCCUUCUGUAUAACGUUGGCUGGUGAUCUGCCAAGCGUGUGUGUAUGUGUGGCAGCCUGUCUUUAACAUAUCUAUUGGGAAUAAUCUUAUUUGUUGUCUUACAUAUAUCCAUGGCAUGUAAAACUUCAUUCCUUUUGCUCUUCUCUUGUGGCAUGCUGUCAUCUUAGUACUUGUAUACUAUGGUCUUCUGUUUUUGCAUGUCAGUGUAUUUUGGUUAUAGAGUAUACUGCCCCACUGGUAAUAGGGUAGGCUAGAUGAUGGUCACUUCCCUUGCCACUUCCUGUGAGGUACUCCAUGAUGUGAUAUGAGCAGAACCAACCUUAAGAACUUUGUGAGUGUUUUAAUUUUUUCUUAAUUAACACACUUAAUUAACAACUUUUUUAAAAAAAUGAUAAUUUGGCCUUCCUAUUUCCUACUUUACCCUCACUUGAUUAGAACUGUGAGUCUAGAUCUGAAGGAAUGUAAAGUGGAAACAAUGCCAUUUUCUUUUGCACCCCCCAUGUAGGAUCAAAACUUGGCCACCCCCCUCCAUUUCUAACACUAGUCAGGAUUCUGAGGUUUUGCUCUUUGCCAUUGGAUGGGAUUACCAAUCACUCAGAAAUCUGCCUUGCACUUGUUCAUAAAAGCUUAUUGCUACCCCUUUUAAUUAGAAUAUGCUCAGUUGAUAUCAGUAGUUGCUAGUGUUUAGUAAGUCCAUGGUCCAGCUCACAGAGCGUAUAAGAAGCAAUAAAAGGAAAAAAUACUGCCUGAGAGCAUUUUGUCGAAGGAAAGCAAAAUAGCAAUUGGGAUCGUCCCUUGAGUGCUCCUUGCCUAUCAAAACUUUAGUAUAUUGGUUUGCUCAUCUCUUUUGCUAUCACAUCCAUUAGAUGCAUCAUAAUUUGAAAAAUUUGACUUUGGCAGCGCUGGUAAGGAAGAACAUAAGGCUUUGGAAGUAAGGCUGAGGCAAAUAUGUGUGGCAAGGGAACAAUACUGGGAAUUAGAGUAUUAACAGCAGGGUACUGAGAGAUCUGAAUAACGAUCAAGUGCUGCAGGGAAUAGUCUCUCUAAUUAGAUGGCUGCAAUGAUGGUAUUAGUGUCCUGCAGUUGCUGUUGAUGUGUUUUAACUGCAGGGCUUUGAACAACGUAAGUUUUGGUGAUGCUGUCCUCUGGACUUAUGGGAGUUCUUUAAAGAUUUUUCUGUCUUCAAAGGAAGCAGCUUGUUUGAUGAUUUAUUGAUCGAUUAAUUAAUUGUAUUUCAAUUCUGCCCUUCUUCCAGGAUGAUCGAGGUUCUGUUUGGGAGGGGCCAUUGCUCAGUGGUGGAGCAGCUGCCUUGCAUGCAGAAGGAACCCAGUUCAAUCCCUUGCAUCUCCAGGUAGGGCUGGGAGAGAACCCUGCCUGCAGAGCCACUGCUAAAUGGACCCAAUGGUUUGAGGAUAUGCAGGUUCCUAUGUUCCUGUUAGGGCUGUUGGGAGGAGGAGAGUCAUCAUUAUGAUUUCCUCCUCUGUACUGUAAUGUGAAAUCUAGGCAGCUGUCCAUGGCUUUUGUAUGCUCUCCAGUACAUUUUUGGAAUCCACUUUGUUAUUUAGUUGCACCCUGAAGGCUAUGAUACGUUUUUUUCAAUCUGUCCUCUUCCUCCUUCUGGAACAAGCCAACGGCAAAUAUGCACAUUAGCAGGCAGCAAGCGAGGUGCAAUGCUAAGAAGAACUGAAUUUAGUUAAGCAGCCAGUUACCAAAGAGGAUUACAAGCACUAUGAAGGAUUAAAAGUUGCAUUAAAGAAAGAAAGGACUAGAAGUGGAUGGCAUUUAUCCAAAGAGUGAGCGCCACAACAGCCCUGCAGAGAAUUUUAGGCAGCGUUUUAUGGAAUCCCAUCCUAUUGAUUGGAGUUGUCCCUAUGAUGUUUUAUCUUGAUAAAUGAUCCACUUAAAGAGUCAUUAUCAUUCUUGAGACCCCUUGUUAGGCUUAUAUUAUAAUUAGGUCAGAUAAAAUAAGACUGAGAGGUUAAUCAGUGAAAUUUAUGCCUCCUAGGGACAGAUAAAUUAACAUUUUGUAGAAGUCCAUCCAAACACAACGCCAGCAAGUUAUUGAUCAUGCUGUAUGUCUUUGCCUGCUCCCCCUCCCACUCAUCUCUUGUUGUCUAAAGAAGGAUUUUAUUUGACAGCUUCAAGGUGUCUAAUUUAGGUGCCUUUUUGGGGAAAUUUGCACAGAAAAUUGGUUUUUGCCAAAGCAUGAAACAAGACAUAAAGACUCCAAUAAAGUUCUUAUUGGGUCUCAUAAAAUUCAGUGCAUAUUUAGUCCUCCUCAAACUCUUAGCAAUGAAUUUCAUUAGCUUCAAAUACUGUGUGCCACAGUUUGUUAAAUAUGAAAUGAUGUUUUUUCUAGUUCAGGGGGAAAGCAUUUAGCCAUUAUCUCUUCUUGGGGGCAAAGGCAAGGACACGUAUGAGUAACUUCCUGCAGUUUACUCCAGCCGUGUCUGCUCACCCUUGGAUCUCUCUGUUUGCUCAUCCACCUGCCUGGAAUUUUCCUCAUUGAUCCUCAGGACUGGUCAAACCUCUUCCAAAUGGACUCAUUGGAACUGGGCAGACUUUUGCUCUAGACUGCUCUUCCUGUUAGUACAUGUGAAAGUGCCUUUAGGCAGAUCUUCAUCCUAGAUGUAGGUUUUCCUGUGGGAAUUCUUUCAUCAGUUCCUCUUGAAUCCAGACACAGCCCUGCUUGGACUCAUGUUUUCAGGAAAUCAGCAUGCUUGUAUUAUUAUUAUUAUUAUUAUUAUUAUUAUUAUUACUAUUAUUACUUUUCUGUACUGCCCUUUACCCGAAGAUCGCAGGGUGGCUUGCAAUACAAAAACACAAAAAAUACAUACCAUAAUAACAAACAAACACUAUAUAGUAUUAUUAGCCUGUACUAGUUAAGGUUCCAGCAUAGGCACAGCCUCAUAGGAUGUGACAUGUAAUUUCUCACAGAAGUGAUAUGGAAAAUGUAGGCUUUGUUUCUCAGGUUGUCUGUUUUGUAUAGGCUACCACAGAGGAAAUGUUAGCUGCACAUACAAGCACACACAUUUACACACACAAUGGUCCAUUCUGCUUUGACAUAUCUGUCUUGUUUAGUGCUGGUAUUACAAGUAGCAGCAGUGAGUGACGUGUUACCCAAGUGAAUUACAUCACUUUGCCAGGAAGAAAUGCAGCCAAAUUCUGUACAAAUGGAAUCUGCUCCAAAAUAUACAGUUCAUGUUAUAGGUGGAAUUGAAUCAUGACCAGGACAUAUCAGAAUCCAUUAACAGGUCAUUGAUUUCUUUAAAUUUCUUUUUUCUUUUUUAAAUUUCAUGAGGUUUCUGUACCACUUGAGUGCAACAAAGCUUCAAAGCAGUUUACAAAAAGCUGAUUUCUGUUAAGUUGUGAGGCUAUGAUAGGUCUUGUCAUUAGCGUGGCAUGCAGUGACAUCAUCAACCUCCCAAGGCACGGGAGACCUCUGGGCUUUAAAAGCAUGACCACCCUGUUUAUAAAUGAAGCUGAGGCUGUUCUGCCACAUUUCUUUUGCUCAUGACAUAAAAGGGUAAUAACAUUCAAUUUUACUAAAUGGGCAACAGAAUUUCUUAUUUAUUCCUACAUCUUCACCUGAUGAUUAGCGUGGAUUAACUAUUUACAUCAACAUUCCCAUUCACUGAAUGUCUCAUGUAUAGAUUUGGAUGACUGUAUGCAUAAUAGAAAACAUUAAUAUUCAAGAUCAUCCUUAUAGAUUCUUGGUGAUAAUCUGACUAAGUCAUAUUCAAAGCAGAGUCUGCUCUGAAUAUGACUCAUAUUUCAUAUCACCCAUUGUGAUGAGCUAAGCAUGUGAUAUCAAGAAAAUAAAUGCAUCAAAUGAAAGCAACCUCUGUGUAUAAAGCAGGAAUGAGCUGAUUUACCUGAUUUCCAUGAAGUUGCAAAUCAAGAUAUUUGACUUGAUUUAGCUCAGUGAAGAGCAUUACAAGAGAAACAAUGACAACAAUAAACUAUACUGUCCCUCUCCCUUUGUCUCUGUUUGUCAUGUUCACACUUACACCUCAGUAUAUGUGGUGUUGAUUGUCAUGUCUACAAAUACAGCUGCCUCAUUUUUGGUGUAUUUCUGUGCACCAUAGGAACUGUAGAAAAUGACCACAAGAAAGUCAGUCAAGUUGUUGUAGCCCUUGUAAGAGAAAUGGAGAAGUGGGGAACUACUGCAGGGAUUUGAUCUGAUUUUGCAUAGUGUAACCCUUAUACCUACUUGAAAAGGAUCAAAGGUAUAAUAUCAGCAUCCUGUUUUAACAUGAGAACUCUGUAGUAAAAUACAGUCCAGGUACUAACCUAAUGCCAAGGGAUGGGGCCAUUUCAACACAGGAAUGUGUAUGGUGUGACUGAAGAACAGGUGGUUCCCUUCAGAUUUUCCAAAAGAGAAAUUAGGAGGGAGUUUUGAUGCAAGCAUCUGGAUGGGAUGUCUCAUUGUCUGCAUAUAUUUCAGCUACUUUUCCAAGCACUACCUCAGCAAACCGAAAUUAAUUGAUAACACUGAAAUUGUGUGUAUGUAUGUGUCUGUGGUGCGUUGUGUUUGUGCAGUUAGGAUUUGAAGGCUAAUCUGUAAUUACCCCCUGAGUUAGAUUAAUUUCAAGGAAGGAGAGAGUGUGCUGGGCUGCAGUAAAUACUGAUGCAGUUUGCUGGUAUUCUGUUCUUUUCAAAGGGUUGGUGAGUCGAGAUCAUUGGCUGCGCUGAGGAGCUGUCACAUUCUCAGUGCUGGAGAGGUGCAGUGCAAGUGAAUGGAAGCAGCAUUUGAGCUCUCUGUGUGCAGAGGCUUCAGAAACCUGAAGAACGAUGAAUCAAAUGAAUACUCGAGUUUAAGGCUGAGAUUCAGACUUGUACAAAUCUGACAGCAUCCCAGCCUCUAGAGCCAUAAGCACUCGUAGGAGGGGAGAGAGAGAGAAAGAAAGAGAGAGAGAGAGAAAGAAAGAGAGAGAGAGAGAGCAACAGCAGAAGUCUGAGCAAGAAGGACGGAUUUCUAGCCAUUUGCUCCAUAACUCAUUGUGGAAUUGUGCGCUAUCCUGGGUGCUGAAACAUGAACCAAACUGCAACAGUG
RNAcentral lists this long non-coding RNA (56613 nucleotides) under Podarcis lilfordi (Lilford's wall lizard). The record is from RNAcentral. Lineage: Eukaryota; Metazoa; Chordata; Lepidosauria; Squamata; Lacertidae.